AAAAGAUUAUUGUUAGCAGGAAAUGGUGAUUUACCAAGUUCAGCCGUGCUGAUUAUCUAAGGUGGAAGUCAGAGAACAGGAUUGUCCCAGAUGGUGUGAAUGCCAAGCUCUUCGGAUGUCAUGGUCCUUUGGCUGAUCGUCAACCUGGAAGAGCUUUCCUGGAAGCAACAAUCUAAGAUAUUUGCUGCCUCAAAAUAACUGAGCCAUGUCUAGUUUAUUAUUUUCCAUUUCGUACCUUUUCUCAGUUGAACUGGAUUUCUCAAGUUGAAGUGACAUGUUUCUUUGGUUUAACUAUGUGAUCCUUGCAGUUGCCUUAGUGAAUUUUCAAUUUGCACUCUUAAAAAAAAAGAAAUAAAUCUCAUUGUUGAAAUAGAGUUUAAUAAUAAAAAUUAGAGAAUGGGAUUUACACAAUAAAUUUUAAUUAAGGACAUUUUUGUCAUUGAUGGAGGUGUUAAAAGAAUUUUAUAAUUUUUUAAAAUAUUUUAAUGGGAUUGAUUAAGAAAAUGGUGUUAAGAGAUAUUUAGAGGGGUGCUAAUAGUCCCACUCAUUAUGAAUUCUGAGCUGUUUUUGUAAGAGGUUAAAAUGGCACAUUAGUGGAGAAUAUUAGGGCCUGUUCGGUAACAUUUUAUGGGCCCUGUUUUCAUUUUCCUUUUAUGAAUUUAAGUUAAUGCGCGAUCGAUGGGCGAAAUUCAAAAAACAAAUAAUUCAUAUCUUCUUUUAUAGUUAUAAAUUUGAGAACGUAUUUCGGCCACGUGAUAACAAAAGCCAGCUGGUUGGAGUAGAAUCAAGAGUUGAGGAAAUUGAAUCUCUACUAAGUGUUGAGUCGAAAGAUGUUUACGCUGUAGGGAUUUGGGGCAUUGGUGUUAUAGGCAAAACAACAAUCGCUAGAGAUUGUUCAAGGUGUUCCUUUAGCUCUUAAAGUUUUGGGGUGCUUUCUAUAUGAAAGGAAAAAAUAAGUCUGGGAAAGUGCAAUAAAUAAAUUGCAAAGAAUCCUCCAUCCAAGUAUUCUAGAGGUAUUAAAAAUAAGUUAUGAUGGUUUGGAUAAUAAAGAGAAAUAUUUUCCUUGAUGUUGCUUGUUUCUUUCAAGGUGAGGAUGUAAAUCUAGUAAUGAAAUUCCUUACUGCAGGCAGCUUCUACCCAAAAAUAGGAAUAAGUGUUCUCGUUGAUAAGUCUCUUAUUGUCAUAUCAAAUAACAACAAGAUAACUAUGCAUGAUUUGCUACAAGAAUUGGGUAGGGAUAUUGUCAGUCAAGAAUCAAAUGAUCCUGGAAGCCGCAGUUGAUUGUGCAUCAUGAGUGACAACUUGCUGUGGAUUAUUACUUUGGAAUAUUCUAGCAUUUACAAACUUGAUAUGGAUAUAUUUAUAUACUCUCGAAUUGCUGAAUCUAGAAUUAACAGAAGAGUGACAAUGAUUAGAAAAAAACAAUAGUGGUUAUAAAUGCCGUGACAACUGUUAUAAAUGCCGUGACAACUUGUAUAAUUAAAUUCUUUGUAAGGAUAGUUUAUUUGUCAAUUUGUUUUGUAUCCCACAUGCGUAAAUUCCAUGUUUAGUAUUACUUGUAUUAUUAUGUUCCUUUGUGCGUUUGCAAUUAAGAGUUUCACGGCCUAGCAAUAACUAUAUAAACAUGAAUUACUGAAAUUUGACUCGACCAAUGAUAAAAAAUUCCACUCCAAUCCCACCUCAAUUCCACGCAAGAGUAAAAAAAAAGAUUGAAUUAAUAACUAAGUUACCCCUUGUUGUGAAUCAAUGCCAAACAUGCCCCAAAAAUUUGUCUUGGUGGGGUUGAGGUGCAAUUCAUUGGUGGGAUAUAAAUAUCGUUUUUCAUUUUUUAUUGAUUAUUAGGGGACUGAAAAAGUUGAGGGCAUCUGUUUGAAUAUGUUCAAAGUGAAAGAGAUCCAUCUAAAUCCCAAUACAUUCACAAAGAUGCGGAAAUUGAGAUUUUUAAAAUUCUAUAGCUCAUCAUUCAAUGGAGAGAACAAAUGUAAGGUGUCUUAUUUGCAAGACCCUAGAUUUACUGAAGUGAAGUAUCUCCACUAGCAUGGAUAUCCAUUGAAGUCAUUGCCUUCAAGCAUCAGUGCAGAGAAGCUUGUGUUUCUUGAAAUGCCUAAUAGCAGCAUUGAACAACUUUGGGAUGGUAUGAAGGUAUGUAUAACUUAAUACAUUAUGUGUGGAAUCUUUCAAUAAUAACGUUAAAUUAUCAUACAUGGUAAUGAUUCUUCUUGGCCUCUUUUUUGACCAAGCAGCAUCGUGGUAAGUUAAACCAGACAAUCCAUGCUGCCUGCAAGAUGCUAAUUGCCAAAACUUCAAACCCCACGUUGAUUCCACAUCUAAACAAGCUAGUUAUCUUGAAUCUAAGAGGUAGCAAAAGCCUGAAAAGUCUUCCAGCUGGAAUAUAUAUAAAGUAUGUUCAAAAGAACAAUCGAUUUGCGGUAUUAUCAAUGUUCAAUUUCUUAAAAUAAAGAUUACACAAAUUGUUAAAUUCGUUUGGUGGUAAGCAUAAAAAAUCCACGGAUCUUUGCUUUCUUCAAGAUAUUUCCUGCUGGUUUUACACCCCAUCAAUCAAUCAUGCAGCUAGUUUUCAUGUGAAGAAUAUGCAGGGAAAGUAUUUAGACAAUUCUGGUAUGAAACUCGGUUCAUUACAAGUUGAGGCCGAAUUGUUAAAAUUCAAAUCAGGAGCUAUUCGUUAAAUCGCCUCAAGGGAUAUGAAAGUUCAAAAGUGAGUUUGUUGCUGAUUACACUACAUACACUACAUAUAUGCUUGAUAGGCAUGUCUUCAAGCUUCAAAGAAUUGAUGAAGUUGGAUUUUUGUUUCCUUCAUAUUUUAUCCGUUUUGUGCCCAUGUUAAAAUAUUGCAAGAAUAAUUCUAAGAAGGGAGCAAAGCAGAGUCAAGCUCGAGAUUUGUUUGAUGAAGUACUAAUGAAAUAAUGCAGAGCACAAUCUCAGGUGCACUUGUUCUAAUACCUCAGUUUUAUAUUUAUCCUUUAAAUCCACUCUUGGAACAAAACAUGCAUGCAAUAAUUUUCGAGGGGCGCGGUGCAUGUAACACAAAUUCACACUAGAGUACCGAAAGCACGUAUUUAGCAUUGUAAAAUUACUGGCCUUCUUUUCCUGCAGAUUUAAUCUACUUGGCGUGUUAUUUUUUUUCCUUUUUUUUUUUUGAAUGCUAGUGUUUCAUUCAUGAUAUUUCUGAAUUUUUAUCCAUGAUUUUUUAACUUUAUUUUUAUUGAUUCAUGAUAUAUUUUAAAAAAUAUAUUUGUAAGAGUUCUUUCGUGAAAGCAGAGCUAAACCAAGAGGGAAACCUAUGGAUGGCCGAUUUGAUGAUGACGCUUCUUCAUCAUUCCCCAUUAUUUUACUUCUCGCUACGUAUGUAGUACUCUAUGCUACCUUUCUUGCUUCCUUCAAGUGUACAUUUAAUUGAACACAAUCGUAUUAGUAGUAUUAUAGGAAUUUAUAUUUACAAAACUGGCUUGUAAGGAAAGGAUUGAAGAUGCCUGUGAACUUACGUUUCUAUUUAGAUUAUUGUAUCUUUUUCAUGUAUAAAAUUGGAUCUUAUCAUCUUAUUUGCAUAGAUGGAUAGUAAAAUGUUCCUCAGCGUUCCCCUGCAGCACCAAUAUAUACACAUCAUAGAGUUUUUUAAUUUUUGACUCUAGUGUUUUAGGAUAAUGAACGAAGGACUGAAUAGAGAGAAGAGAAAAUACCUUUGUUUCACAUCCUCAAAGAUUCAAGGCUCACCAAGUCUCAAAGCCUGUUUUAUGGCAAGACCAGAAGCCAAGCGUGCCAGGAUCUGCUCGACCAAGCGAAGGCGAGCAGACCCUCAAGUGUUAUAAAAAUUCCUAAGGCAUGCAAAGGCUCACUAGAAGCCAAGCAUGCCAGGAUCUGCUCGACCUGCCAUUCUCAAUCAACCACCAAACUAAUGUCAACAAAGCCAUGAGGAUUGUCUCACAAGUCUUUCAUUAAAAUCUUCUAAGGCACGCAAAGGCUCCACAAGUCUCAAAGCCUCCUCGAUGGCGAGACAGGAAGCCAGGUAUGCCAGAAUCUGCUCAGCCAUAAGAAGGCGAGCAUACCACCAAAAGUUAUAAAAAGUUUAAAAAGCAUGCAAAGGCCCCAUAAGUCUCAAAGCCUCCUCGAUGGCGAGACAGGAAGCCAAGCUCGCCAAAAUCUGCUCGACCAUGUGAAGGUGAGCAGACAAUGAGAAUUCCAAAAAAGUUUCUAAGGCAAGCAAAGGCUGCAAAUUCUCAAAACCUCCUCGAUGGCGAGACAAUAAGCCAAGCUCGCCAGAAUCUGCUCGACCAUGUAAAGGCGAGCAGGGAACAAAAAUCCCAAGAAAGUUUCUAAGGCACGCAAAAGGUUUUAAAGUCUCAAAGUCUGCUCAAUGGCGAGACAAGAAGUCAAGCUUGCCAGAAUCUGCUCGACCAUGUGAAGGCGAGCAGAUAAUGAGAAUUCCAAAAAGUUUCUAAGGUAAGCAAAAGCUCCAAAGUCUCAAAGCCUCCUUGAUGGCGAGACAGGAAGCCAAGCUCGCCAGAAUCUGCUUGACCAUGUGAAGGCAAGCAGACAAUGAGAAUUUCAAAAAAGUUUCUAAGGCAAAUAAAGGCUCCAAAGUCUCAAAGCCUGCUCAAUGGCGAGAUAAGAAGUCAAGCUUGCUAGAAUCUGCUCGACCAUGUGAAGCCGAGCAGAAAAAAAAAAAAGGGUACUACAAGUAAAAGGCUUACAGUCUCCAAACCUCCUCGCAGUGAGACGAAGUCAAAGUUUGCCUCUCUUGCCCGACUAAGAUUACGCGAGCAAGAGUUAUAUGAGCGAAAAAUGUUCUAAAGCAAAUAAAUGACUAAGUCUUAAAACCUACUUCAGGUGAGAUAAAUACCUAAACUUAUGAAACCUGCUUUACAUGAUUAUGUGAGUAGGAAAAUGGUAUAUUUAAAGGCAUGUAAAAGUUUAAAACUUGAAACUUUUUUGUUAAGGGCAAGGUUAAUUUAAGCAAUCCCGAGCCGAUUUAUGGCAACCACCUCGAGGUCACUUUAAAAUUUAUAUAGUUUCCAGUCUUGAUUCGUUAAAACUCUCAACACUAGAAACUGGGGGACUGGAUUGAUACGUAAAUUUGUCUAUUACACAUGCAGAAUUUUUACGUUAACUAUUACUUGUGUUAUUAUGUUUGUUAACUGCGUAGCAAUAACUAUAAACAUGAAUUAUUGAAAUUUGAUUCGAGUAACGACAGAGAGCCCCACUCCAAUCCCACAUAAACUCCAUGCAAGAAUAAAUAAAAAUUGAAUUAAUAACUAAGCUACCUCUAAUUGUAAAUUAGUGACAAAAUUGCCCCAAAAUUUUUUUCCUGGUGAGGUUGAAAUGCAAUUCAUUAGUGGAAUAUACAUAUCAUCUUUCAUUUGAUUUUAAUUUUAUUUUUUUAAUUUAUUUUUAGCGGACAGAAAAAAUUGAGGGCAUCUGUUUGGAUAUGUCAAAAGCAAAAGAGAUCCGUCUAAAUCCUAAUACUUUCACAAAGAUGCCUAAAUUGAGAUUUUUAAAGUUCUAUAGUUCGUCAUUCAAUGGAGAGAACAAAUGUAAGAUAUCUUAUUUGCAAGAUCCGGGAUUUGGUGAAGUGAAAUAUCUACACUGGUAUGGAUAUCCGUUGAAGUCAUUGCCUUCUGUCAAGGAAGCUCAUAAUGCAUGGAAGGAUGCAGCACACGUGUGAUAUGAAUACAGUCAGCUGAAUCAAUUGAAGAGUGAAGUACCAGCUCAGCUGAAGUUAGUUAGACACGUUAAGAUCAAGUUUUUAGUUAGUUCUUCAUUUUUUGUUAAGCUGUAAAACAGCUGAGUAUAAAUACAAGCAUAUUGUAAUCAUUUUGUGAUUAAGUAAAAAUGAAAGCAUUUGAUUCCAGAAGUUCUUUUACAAUUUUCUUAGCACUUUAAAUACAUUUUCUUAGUAACCAAAUUCAAGCUUUUAAGCUUUCAAACCAGGGAGUAUCAAACAAACCUGCAAGUCUCCUCAGUAUUGUCCAAGUAUGUUUCUUCUGCCCUGCUUCAGGGUGCCCAUAGAUUCCCGUGCAUCUCAUCCAACUUUCUUUGUCAUCUUGAACCUUGGCAUCAAUGUGGUGUCUGCUGAAUGAAGUAACAUCCAUAUUGACAUUAUUGUCCCAAAGCAUUGCCAAUCCCCCUCCCUUCCCGUUUCUAUUGACUGCAAAACAAUUUUCCAAUCUCAACUUCCUGCUCACUAUAAACGUUUGCACAGGCGUUAAUUUCGUUUCAAGCAAAAACAACAAAUGUGGCCUGUGUUGAUGGAGAAUUUUUUGCAAAGCUAGGAAUGUCCGGGAAUUCCCCAAACCACAGACAUUCCAACUGAGGAUCUUCAUUGUUGCCGGUAGGGCUGGCCACCAGCCUCCGCCAAUAUCUCUGUGAUGAUUGGCCUUGCCACCUCCAUGUCCUCUACUGACAUUAACUCCCAUUUUAGCUUAAGGUUUGCUGAAGGAGGGGAUUGCUAAGCUUGUCUUUGUAUUUGUUUAAUAGGACUAACCAAUUUGACUCUUUUUUUGUUUGGGUUGUUUUCUUUCAACAUGCAAUAUGGCCUCUUAGCUGGAUAUGUCUCCUGCUUGAUUCCUCCCAUCUCGCUUUGUUUUCGGGCCCAGCGUUUCUAGCUUUUUCUAUUGGGCUUGAUUUGAUUUAAUUCCGGUCCAUCAUCUACACCUUCCUCGUCUUCUUUAUAAACUUGAGCCUUGGCUCUUUGAUCCAUUUCUUCGGCAGCCAAUUUUCCUUCUUUGCUAAAUUUUCCGCUUUCCCUCUCAUUUUCAUCAACUUUUCCCGCGUUGCUACUCAUCUUUCUAGGGGCCUUUCCAUUUUCAGUGGCUACAGGUUGCUUGUAGCAGUCCACUAUCUGAUCUCCUGAUUUUUUUCCAGCUGAGCAUUAAAUGCGUUUCUUCUGCUUCCUCUUCAUUAUUUUCUUUAUUGGCUGCCACGUGUGUGUCUUCCUAGUCUGAGCUUGAUCCUGGUUCUGUUGCACUGGUCCUAUGUGAUUGAAGGGGUUGCUGCGGCUGGGAUAUUGGAUUUUCCUUGAAGUCUUUGUGCCUGUUAUUAGUUGGCUGGUUAACCAUUUUGCCACUAACUUUUGUUCCCCUUUCGUGGGGUCUGUUUAUUUUUUAUUUGCCAAAUACAGGGACCGCUUGCAUCCAUACUCCAUAAGCCAGUUUCUCUUUUGGUUGCCCCUCGUAUUUGUUGCACUCCUUGUAUUAGUGCCUGACGAGACCACAACAGAAGCAAAAUUUGGGCAAUCUCUCGUAAACUACUGGAAUUGGGACAUCAUCUUCUCCUUCGAGUUCUAGAUAAAUUGUUCUGCUUUAUGCAUUUGUUACUUCAACUCUAUGAUUUCCCAAGAAAACAAUCAAUAUGUGAAUGUUUAGGUGCAUAAAACAUGGACCAGCAGCUUGUAAGUGUUGGGGAAAGAUCAGGUUUUUUAAAUUUUUAUAAAAUCUUUUUAAGAUCGCUCUCAUAUAAUAUAUAAGAAUUUGUAAUCUACAAAUCGUACCUUGAAAAUUCGAUUUGGCUUUUUCCGCUAAAGUGAUUUAGGCUCCCAGAUCACGAUCCGUCACCACCACUCCUGUUAGAUCACGAUCCGUCACCACCACGCUUGUCAGAUCACGAACUGUCACCAAUGAUCUUCCAGGUUAUGACUCAAGUUUGAUCUGCACUUGACGUGUGGCCGCCUUUAUCACUACCAAAGUAACUAGCACGAGAAAAUUUUUCUCUCAACAAUACCGAGAAAAAUCUUUUUCUCUAAUCUGUAUAAAGUGGCUGUCCUGCUUUUUCUUUAGAGAAAAUAAGCCUUUUAUAUCUCCCUUUAGUGAAAACCCUAGGCUCUAAAUAAUAAAAAAACAAAACUCACGUUACUUGCUUUUUCUAUAGGGGACCCACCUUGUAAAAUAACAUAAAGCCCCUUACACACAAGCUAAUUAAAUGGAGCCUCCCACUAAAUGAUAUAUUUAGGCUUUUUACCCAAAUAGCUAGUUAUCUUGUUUAUUAAUCCAGUAGUGGUGCAAUCAAUUAAAUGAGCUAACCCGGGGAUUAUUUGGGAACAUAUAAUAGUGGCUAUAAUUAGGCCUGUAAUUAAACUAGCCCAAUUAUUUAAUUCCAAAUUUACUCCACUAAAAGAUUGGAACUGACUUCCAUAAUUGUAUACUCGAAUAAUAAUUCGUCCCAAGCCACAUUGAUUUUUUUACUGCACAAUCCUUUGUACCACAUCGUUAAUUAAAUUGAUUCCUUAAUACUUACUGGUUUUCUCUAAUGACCAUUUUCAACAUACUAAAUAUGUUGAUACACUCUGGCCAGAGAAUUCUAUGAUCAAGUGCCGAAAACCCAUCAAGAGAUGUGUUGUACAAAUUCUAUAUUGUUAAUCUAUAACUCCAAUACUCAUAAAUGCUCCCACCAAGAUACCGAGUAAUCUAGACUACAAGUAUGUGUCAUGCCCAUUGGUAACUCAAAUGGAAUAACAAUUACAAUCAUGAAAUCAUAAUUAACUCAAGAUUAAGAUUACAGUAAAAUCAAUGCCUAUGANNNNNNNNNNNNNNNNNNNNNNNNNNNNNNNNNNNNNNNNNNNNNNNNNNNNNNNNNNNNNNNNNNNNNNNNNNNNNNNNNNNNNNNNNNNNNNNNNNNNNNNNNNNNNNNNNNNNNNNNNNNNNNNNNNNNNNNNNNNNNNNNNNNNNNNNNNNNNNNNNNNNNNNNNNNNNNNNNNNNNNNNNNNNNNNNNNNNNNNNNNNNNNNNNNNNNNNNNNNNNNNNNNNNNNNNNNNNNNNNNNNNNNNNNNNNNNNNNNNNNNNNNNNNNNNNNNNNNNNNNNNNNNNNNNNNNNNNNNNNNNNNNNNNNNNNNNNNNNNNNNNNNNNNNNNNNNNNNNNNNNNNNNNNNNNNNNNNNNNNNNNNNNNNNNNNNNNNNNNNNNNNNNNNNNNNNNNNNNNNNNNNNNNNNNNNNNNNNNNNNNNNNNNNNNNNNNNNNNNNNNNNNNNNNNNNNNNNNNNNNNNNNNNNNNNNNNNNNNNNNNNNNNNNNNNNNNNNNNNNNNNNNNNNNNNNNNNNNNNNNNNNNNNNNNNNNNNNNNNNNNNNNNNNNNNNNNNNNNNNNNNNNNNNNNNNNNNNNNNNNNNNNNNNNNNNNNNNNNNNNNNNNNNNNNNNNNNNNNNNNNNNNNNNNNNNNNNNNNNNNNNNNNNNNNNNNNNNNNNNNNNNNNNNNNNNNNNNNNNNNNNNNNNNNNNNNNNNNNNNNNNNNNNNNNNNNNNNNNNNNNNNNNNNNNNNNNNNNNNNNNNNNNNNNNNNNNNNNNNNNNNNNNNNNNNNNNNNNNNNNNNNNCUGCUGUACGGCCAAGGCGGAUGUACGGUACAGCAGCUUCCCAAUGUAAACACAUAGCCGGAAGUUGAUUUUCUGGAAUCUUUAUCUGACAUAAAGUCAGAAUCAGUAUAACCUACUGGAAUGAGUUCAUCACCAGAAUACACAAGCAUAUAAUUUUUAGUUCUUUUCAGAUACUUCAUUAUAUGCUUGACCGCAGUCCAGUGUUCAGGUCCAGGAUUAGACUAACCAUCCCUAUCGCAAAACAGAUGUCUGGCCUAGUGCAAAGCAUGGCAUACAUGAGACUUCCCACAGCUUCUACAUAGGGAACUCGUCUCAUUCUCUCUAUCUCUUCAGAUGUUUUAGGUGAUUGAUCCUUAGAGAAUGUAAUUCCAUGUCUGAAUGGUAAUAAACCAGUCUUGGAAUUUUUCAUGCUAAAUCUAGCCAAUAUCUUAUCGAUAUAGACAACUUGAGACAAGGCUAAAAUUUUAUUCUUCCGGUCUUGUAGUAACUUGAUACCAAGAAUAUAACUUGCCUCUCCCAGGUCUUUCAUAUCAAAUUAUUUUGCUAACCAACUCUUUAUUGUAGUCAAUACUCCUAUAUUGUUUCCAAUUAGGAGAAUAUCGUCUACAUAAAGAAUUAGGAAGGUUACAGAUUUUUCUUGAAUUUUCUUGUACACACAUGGUUCAUCAAUGUUCUGAAUGAAUCCAAGCGAUUUAAUCUCUUGAUCAAAUUUGAUAUUCCAUGACCGGGAUGCUUGCUUUAAUCCAUAAAUGGAUUUUUGUAACUUACAUACCAUGUGUUCUUGGCCUUUUAUACGAAUCCAUCUGGUUGCUGCAUGUAGAUGUCUUCUUCAAGAUGCCCGUUAAGAAAGGCUAUCUUGACAUUCAUUUGCCAAAUUUCAUAAUCUAGCAUUGCAGUAAUGGAGAGCAGAAUCCUGAUGGAUUUAAGUAUAGCAACCGCAGAUAAAAGUUUCCUCAUAAUCGAUUCCUUCUUUCUGAGUAAACCCUUUGGCUACUAAUUUUACUUUAAAUGUUUCCACCCUUCCAUCUACUCAUCUUUUUCUCUUGUAGAUCCACUUACACCCUAUAGGUUUUACUCCAUUUGGUGCCUCUACAAUUUCCCAGACUUUAUUGGAAUAUAUAGAUUCCAUUUCUUGAUUCUUGGACUUUUUCCAAAAUUCAACAUCUCUAUCUAUUAGAGCUUCGUUGUAAUUAGUGGGAUCUUGUACAUGUUCAUCUGAGAUAGCUUUAUAGGUUUCUCCCAAAAGCAUGUAUCUCGCAGGUAACCUAGUUACCCUUCCACUACAACGAGGUUCUAAAAGUGAUGGUAGUUCAGGGAUAAUCCUGUGUUGAUCAGCUGGUUGUUACUGUUCUUCCUGUUCUAUAACAGGUGUUGAAAGUUGAGCAUCAACCUGAUCUCUUUUAUUUCUCUAGUUUUACCUUACUCUUAGGUUAUAAGUCAUUAUAUAGUCUUCCUAAAAAAAAAAAAAGUAAAGAAUAUGUCUAUAAAUACAUUCCUAUCUUGAGGAGAAUGAUAAACCACUUAGUAUAUAUCUUGUUUUAUCUAAAAGAAUCUUGUUUCUCCAUUUAAUUAUACUAUUGUAUCAUAGUAUUCAUAGACAACCAAAUAGUGCUUGAAUUUUCUAUAGAGAUAUUCUUUGUUUCGAUCAUAUUAAAGUUCUUUUAUGUUCCUGUCUAAUUGCUUAUGUCUUAUCCACGAACUCUUUUGAAUUUCAAAAGCAAUGGAAUCAUGACGCAUUUAGACAAACAUAAAUAAAAUGAAUAUUCAUCAACAAGAUUGAUAGAAUACUCAUAACCUCUUAUAACAUGUAAACUGAUUAGUCCGUAUACAUUUGUAUGCGCUAAAUCCUCAAAUACAAUGUUAUGCUUUUAGCUCUAAACGAGCAUCCUCGUCAUAUUACUUUUCUAAAUAAGAUUUAUAGAGUUACAAUGAUCAAUCUUAAUAGGCCAACAAGUCUAUCAUUAAUCAUUUUCUUAAAAUCUUAUUAUAGUUUAUAUGACUUAAGCAUAAAUAUCAGAGGUGAUUUUGGUUUGAAGAAACAUUUCUUUUCUUAGAUAAAUGUAUAUACUUAUUAUCAUUAUAUCUUGCUUUGAAUAGAUCAAUGGACUUAUAUGAUAUAAAUUGUCUUUAUAAAUAACCAAAAUAAAUAAUAAACAGAGGAUAAAAAAAAGAUCAAUAGACUUAUAUGAUAUAAAUUGUCUUUAUAAAUAACCAAACUAAGUAAUAAACAGAGGAUAAAAAAAUAACAGUGUACUCCCGUUUAUUAAAACAAGUCACCAAAAUUAAAUUCCUCUAAUAUUUGGAAAAAUAAAAUUUUCCAAGAAGUUUUUUGCUAUGAUAAAAUUCUUUUAUAGCAUGUACUUCGUGCAUUAAUUCAGUUAAGGUCAUAUCUUUAUUGUUUAAGAUAUAGAUGACCUUACACUCUUUGAAUGUAUCAGGUAAAGAUUCAAUCACUAUGUUAAUCUUUGAUUUAUCAUUGAUUUGAACACCAUGAAUCUCUACCUCAUUCAAAUAGUCCAUCAUUUUGAGGACAUGAUCGCGAACUCUUGUGCCCUCUUCCAUCUUAGUAUUUAUAAUAUGUUUUAAUGCUGCUUCUCUGGCAAAAUGGGUAUUUUACCCAAACAUCUGAUGAAGACUAGCCAUUAUUUCAGUGGCUGUUUCCAUGCUCUAAUGUUUCUUAUGCAGUUCCACAGAAAUCGAAGCCAAUAGAUAGCGCUUAGCCAUUUUGUUAGCUUCGCACCAUUUCUCAUAAGGCUCCCUCUAAUUUAUAUAAUUGUAUAACGAUGGUUCAGGAGGGCAAGGCUGUUUGCAGCCUUUAGCAGUGAGAAUAUUAAAUAGAUUGCGUUUCCAAUCUAAAUAAUUUUCGCCAGUGAGUUCAUUUUUAACAAGGAUAAUUAAUAAUGGGUUGAUAGAAGACAUUUUCUGAAAAAACAAAAUAAACAUGCAUAAAUACUUUGAAACAUUAUUCACAAUAAACGACAAAAAUGCAAAAAAUCAUAAAUGCAUUUUAAUUUAUUAUAACGAUAAUCUAGUACCGCUUUGACAAACUAUCCGUCAGGGAAGUCAUGUCUACACUUACUAGACCUAAUUAUCAAUUAGAUUAUUUACUUUCAUGUAGAGACAUGAUAAAUAAUUAUUGUUAUCCUUUUGGGCCUAAAUUUGUUAACAGAGCUUCAUUGGGAAGGUUAAUAACAAAUUUUAGUUGAGUGUAUAACCAUUGUUUCAAUCUACGUAUUUUUCAUAUCAAUAGUCACCGUUGGGGUGAACAAUCGAUUGAAAAAUAUUUCAAUUUUAUCUUUGAAGAAGUUCAUCAAAUAAAAUAUAUAAUACAUAUACCCUCCGUAGGGAGCAUCACUGUAUCAUAAAGUCGAGGUAUAUAUAUAAUUUUAUUAUUGAACUAACAAUGGAGCCCGUGGGAAAAUUAUCUUGAAUUUUCCUUCUCCCACUCAAUAUUUUUAAAUUGGUUUUUCCUUUUUAAAACAUACAUAUUGUUAAUUGCAUGCUUCCUAUAAUAUUAUCUAAAUUAUAUCAAAUAUUAUUAAGCAUUUGCAAAUUUCAAACAAUAUAAUGAGAUUCAUUUUUAAUGAAUGACAUGUAUCAUUAUGCAUAGAGUGGCACUACCUAUUCUAUAUGACAUGUUAUCAUGGCAUGUUAUCAUCCAAAACCUAACAUAUAAAAAAACAAUUAAAUAAUCUUAAUUCAUGGCUUUCCUAAUAAUGAAAAAAUACAUUAACCCUAAGCCUAAUCUUCAUUGGACUUAUUGUCAAUGUCCAUCUUUUCAUAAGCUUAUCUUUGUUAAUGGACUAGGGGAAAUUGAGCUUUUAAAUUUAUAAUUGAUCCAAUUUUAAUUUUGAAAAGGAAAUAAAUAAAUAAAUAAAUUUAUUAAAAUAAAACUUUUGGACCAAAAAUAAAUUUAAUGUAUUCAAUUUUAUUUCUCUAACAAACUUAACUUAACAACCCAUACAUAUCUUGCCCCUGUCUCUAACGAAUUUUAUCACAACAACUCAUCCUUUUGUUAUUUUAUUUAGUCAUAUCAUUAACCUCGAAAAGAGAGUAAGAAUUUAACUUUAAUUACCUCAAUUGGUGAGGUCUUUGCACAAACACACAAAAACCCAAAAGAGCUGCGAGUGUUCGAGGAGCGAGAAGGUUGUGAUGGUGAAAUUUUUCGGCUGGAACUAGUGAUUGUGAAGUGGCUGCUUGAUGGACUCGAGGAAGAAGAUGGCUUGAUCUCGCCGGAAUCGCAUGGGGUGUUGCUAGUGCGUGUGACGGCAGGGAAGCAGGAAGCUUAGCGUUUUUUGUUUACAAAUUGUUAGUGCCCACUGAUUUGCAUUAUGCUAGUUUACUUUUGGCGUUAUGCUACUUUACUUUUGGCGUUAUGUUACCUUUUUUUUUUUUUGACAAAAGUGUUAUGUUACUUUACUUUUUGGUGACUUUGCUUUGCAAAUUAUUAGUGACUUAACAUUAUGUUACUUUAUUUUUGCUAGUGCGUGUGACUUUGUUUUUAUUUUGUUUUAUAAUUUUUAUAAGUUAUAUUUGUAUAUUUGAUUAUUUAAUCAUUUUUUAUUUUUUAUUUUUAUUAGGUAAUGGCUAAGUUAAUACUGCUGUACCGUACAUCCGCCUUGGCCGUACAGCAGAGUUACAAAAAUCAUAAUUCUUAAUAAAAAUCGAAGAUUAUGACCUUAAAAUUUCGGCAACAUAACAUUUAUUUGUCUUUUUGCAUUUUCCAAAUAUAUAACCUAUAAAAUAAAGAUCGAAACAAAUAAUUCAAUCAAUUAAUCUUUAAAUAAUAUAACAACAUAAAUAAAUAAUUAAAACAUGCAAAAUUUGUCCAAAGUCAUUUGAAAAUGAUAAAAGAAAGGUUUUUACAUACUCCAAAAUAGUCACAAAAUUUUAAAAUGAUACAAUAGUUGUAACAAAAUGCAUGAUGUUAAGUAAUCCGAGUACACACAUCCAUAUGCUAAAAUACUAUCGCAUAAUAUCAUUGUUAAGUUAGACAUGCAAACUCUCCAUUAUCAAACUCCACCUCUCCUUUCAUGUUCACGCAAAAGCAUCCUAACAUAUGCUAACUUACGGUCACGAUCAUUCCGUAAUGCCUUGAAAGCCCUUAUAUUUGAAGGUUUCUCUACCAUUAAAUUUAAGGCCAUAAGCUCAUCAUCCAUAGAGAGUCCCAUCGAAGCAAGCUGUUCAGCAAUGUAAUCGUGAUCUUCACUACUUCCAUACAUAUUAUGAGACAUGUCGGUGUUGGCUUGGUGAAAUGCUGAAACCAAUUUCUCAAUACCAUCAACAACAUAUUCAUCUGAUUUAGACCUCUUUUUGUGUGAUGAUUGUGGACGUGAUCGAGUAGUGUCUUGAGAAUUUGCAGAAGGGGAAGCAAACAUGGGAGAACCUUCAUCAUCAAUCUCAUUAUCAUCAUGGAUUUCUUCUUGAAGUGCUGCAUUAGCCAUAUCAAUUGGAGUCUCUGCCGACCUUCCAGUUGCACGGUCUUUUCCAAAUAUAUUUGCUAGCCUCUCAUAAUAUAGAAAUGACUUGUUCCUCCAAUUGAUUGCUUCUCUAUGGGAUUACGAAAUAAAAAUAAGAUAGUUAAAUAAACUUUAUUAUUUUUAUAACAAUACACCAUGCAACCAUGCAAAUAUAACUAAUGACAUAAAAAAAAGAAAAUUAUUUUCCUUAUUGUAAAUUCAAAAUACUAACCUCCACAUAUGAUUUCCAUACUUCGUCACUAUCAACCUCCACACAUUUUCUCACAUCAUUCCAUCCAAAACCGCUAGUGUUUGACAUAUCAAACAACACCCCAUAAUUUUUCUUCCAUAUUCUUGUCUUAGAGUCAAUAUGUGGAUAAGCCUUCAAACCACAACCUGGUUGCAAUUUUUCUAAUUCAUUUUCAAUAUAUUUGUAACUUCCAGAUUUGAAGGUACCAUUAUCAGCUCAACUACCGUUUGCAACUAGUGCAUCUAAAAUGUUCAACAUUUUUUCUUCUUCCUCUUUUGUCCAUGCUCGUCUUGACCCUGUUUUAUUUCCAGUAGUAUGACUUGAACCUCCACUCUCCAUGCCUACAAAAUGAGCAAUUGAAACAUAACACCAAGUUAAAUUCACAUAAGUAACACUUGAUAAAUUCCUGUCGAUUUCGAUAUUUUAGCAAAAUUACAACCUUAUAUAUCUUCUUAAAGACAUAGCUAUAUAAACAAAAGUACAACUUGAGAUGCUUUCCUAAGAAUAUCGAUAUACUAACAAAAGUACAAUUUUAGAUGCUUUCCUAAAACCAUUGAUAUACUAACAAAAGUAUAGCCUUAGAUGCUUUCCUAAGAACAUCAAUAUACUAACAAAAGUACAGCCUUGUAUACCUCCUACGAACAUCGAUAUACUAGCAAAAGUACAGCCUUAGAUACUUUCCUAAUAACAUCUAUAUAUUAACAAAAGUAUAUCCUUGAAUACUUUCCUAAUAUAUAUAUUAACAAAAGUACAACAACCUAAUUGCCCAACCAAUUAUUAUACAUUGCAGUAGCUAAAUCAUUCCUCCAACUCGUCCAUUGGUCUGAAGCUUCAAGGCUACUUAUGUUAUCACUAUCGUCUACUUCAUUGUUAGAUAUGUCAAGUAACUCAUGCUCUAUUGGAUCCACAAGCAUUUCUCUCCUAAUCAGAUUAUGUAAUAAACAACAUGCAGUAAUAAUGCGACAUUGGGUUUUAAUUGGAUAGAAUGAAGGACUUCGAAGAAUGGCCCAUCGCAUUUUGAGCAAUCCGAAACACCGCUCAAUUACAUUUCUUGCUGAGGAAUGUUUCAUGUUAAAGAACUCCUCUUUAUUCUGAGGAGCACACCCAUCUCUCCAUUCAGAUAAGUGAUAUCUUAUUCCCCUAUACGGUGCAAGGAAUCCUUCAGCAUUUGUGUAUUCGGCAUCCACAAGAUAGUAAUAACCUAUUUAUUUCACAUAAGCAUUAGUACAAUUUUUAGUUUUAAUAUGUAAUUUAAUUUACUAUCAUUUUUGGGAUAAGUAAUACCUGUAGGAACUUUUAAACCGGUUGGCUUACUUAAUGCAUCGCGAAGUACUCUUGAGUCAGAUGCAGAGCCUUCCCAUCCAGGCAUCACAAAGAUGAAUUUCAUAUCUCGUGAACAUACUUCUAAAACAUUAGUAGCAAUCUCACCCUUUCUUGUUCGAUAUCUUGGCUUAUCAUUUUCUCCGACGCGGACUUUAAUAUAAGUUCCAUCCAAUGCCCCUAAGCAAUUCUACACAUAUAAAACAAAUGAAAAAUUUAUAAGCAUUGAACUAUCACUAGCUAUAAUCAAAUAAAAGUAAUUGAUAAUAUACCUUAAACCACUUCCAUCUCUCAUCAGUGCAAUUCUCUGGUACAGGUUCUGGUGCCCUUAGUAAAACAUCAUGUAGUCGUAACACUCCAUUUAAUAUUGAGUUGAAGUAUCUACUAACUGUUUCGCCAGAUCUGAAAAAUCUACUACCAAUUGUGCGAUUCUUGACAUGAUGAGACAAAGUGUGAAGAAACAUGCAAACUUGCUCUUCAAUCGUCACUGAACCAUUAGCCCUUAAUCCUCCAUUCACUCGAAGGAGCUCACAUAGUAGGCCAAAUGUCCUUCUAUCCAUUCUUAGUUGAUUCACACAUUGUAUGUCACUAUUGCCUAUAAUGCUAUCUAAGUAUUGUAAUCGAGUGGCAUGAUUUUGGAAUGUACGACUACGAAUUAAUUUUCUUUGAUUAUGCUUUCGGAUCAACAUCAUUAACAAAAAAAAUGUCACAAUGAACAUGAACCUCAAUUUCAUUUGCCACAUGACGAAAAAAAAUUUUCCUCUCAUGUCCAUAUCUAAAACAACAAAUAAAAAUGAGUCAAAAAUCAGCUAGCAAGCCAUUGAUAAAAUGUCCAUAAACUUAAAUGCUAGCACACUUUUGUUUUUGCUAUUUUCACAAAGAAGAAAAUAGAAGCAUGCAUAUAUAUAUAUAUAUAUGUAUAUAUAUGGAGAGAGAGGGGUGGUUAUUAUUACUAUUAUUAUCAUUACACAUACACAAAUUUACUAUGGACCCUAGUCCUAAUUAAUGACUUAAACAAAUCACGUGGAAAAAAAAAAUCCCUAUUUUCUUCCAUCUCUGUUCAUGUCCGUUGAAAUUAUAACAUGCAAAUAUAAUAUAAAGAAAACAUUUUCUGGGCACAAAAUAAGAGAAUGCUAUUAUGAAACCAAUAUUAGAAAAAUAAGCAUUGUUUCACAGGAAAAUAGUUAUACAGGUGCCAAAGCAAUGCAAGUUGACCACAAUAAUCAUAAUUGAAAAUCUAGUAUAUUCUUAAUUAAAACACAUUUAAAUCAAACAAUAGUUAAUUGCCUUAAAGAGUGUAAUAGACAAGUUUACCUGAAAUGAGAAAUUUGAAGAUCCACUUGUAAAGAGAAGGUAUUGCAGAGCUCUUUCUAGAUCAGCACUUUUAUCUUAUAUAGGCCUACAGUCAAUGAUUCUAGUGCCAAGAAAAGUUAUGGAAACUAUCAGCUACCUAAUUUAUGAAAUUCAUUGAAAUAAAAAUUAUGUCAUGAACAAGAUGAGUAAGAAAAUUUUACCCUGUGACACUUUUAUCUUAUAUAGGCCCACAAUCAAUGAUUCUAGUGUCAGGAAAAAUUAUGGAAGCUAUCAGCUACCUAAUUUAUGAAAUUCAUUUAAAUAAAAAUUAUGUCAUGAACAAGAUGAGCAAGAAAAUUUUUCCCUGUGAUUGUCUUGUCUUUUCAUAUAAAAGUUAUGUCAAUAAUGAGACAAAUGGGAGGAAAAAGGGAAAUGGUGGGAUGGGAAAAAGGAAAGAAUAAGACAUUUCUAUUAAAGGAUCCAGAUACUUCAAUCAUUAAGUUAAUUCAAACAAAAAACCCAAAUCCAAAAUCAAACCUCAGGAGAUGAAGGUCGGUACAGUGGUGGUGUUGCGCAGUGGGUAGCAGUGGAGAUGGUAUUGCACAUAGCGUGGGUGUCGCACGGGGAGGUGACGACGAAGUCAGAUGGCGUGGUGGUGGAACGUUGUGGAGGUGGCUUCUGUUAAGCACAGGAAGAACCACAAAGAGAGUGAUUUGAGAACAAUAGUAAUGAGAAUAGAAAGGAAAUUUUAUUUUUGUCGCAAAAUAGCAUCAAACCCGUGUAAACCCGACCCCCCCCCCCCCGGGUUCAUUUUAUUGUAACCACAUUACAAUCCUAUGUGAUGUAUUUACCAAACAUUGUAUAAUAAUACAUUAAUACUAUGAGGGGUCCUAAUACCUCAUAAUGAGGGGUACCAAACAUAGCCUAAAAUCACAAUUUUCUUUUCCUUCUCCCCAGCCGCCAUCAACACAAACCUCCGCCACAGUUCAGAUGCCAGCUGACCUCCGACGCAUCUCCGACGCCGAACCACCCGCCGCCGCGUCACCGGAAACGCACCAAACACCUCCCUCGCGCUGCACCGAAAGCUCCUACUCGCGCUGCCUGCUGCGCGCGCUAGCUGUUGCACGCAAGUGUAUGCUAGCUGCUGCACGCACAGCGUGCGUUGCUGGCUGCGCGAGCAGCGUGUGUGCGCGCAGCGUGCGCUGUCUGCUACUUGUGCUGGUGCAACGCUGCUCGCAGCAUGCUGCUGCAGCGGGUGCUGCUGGCAUGCGCUUGCAGCGGGUGCGUUCGUUAGUGUUGCCUCUGAAAUUUCCAGUCUUCCGUUUCUUUGAUCUGGCAUCCGUGAUAAUUCUCCAGCGAUUUACAAAUUUCCUAGGCCAAUAUUGGCUUACAAAAAUUUUAUAACAGUAAAAUAAAUCAAGUGGGAAAUAUGGUGAUAAAAAACCACCCUUCUUGUUACAGAUCCAAAGAAAAAAUACAACAGAAAAUCUAUCUAUGAAUUAAGACAAACCAAAACAUGUUUUAUUCAUAUAUUAAACAAAUAAUAUAUAUCUGAAUAAAUUGUGCCACUCCAAUACAUAAAUUUCAAGAUUAAUUUCAUACGAAAUUCUUAUAUAUUAAUAUGAGAUGGCUCUGAUACCAAUUGUUGGGGAAAAAUUAGGUUUUUAAAAAUCGUACCUUGAAAAUCCGAGUUAGCUUUUUCCGCUGACGUGAUUUAAGCUCCUAGAUCACGAUCCGCCACCACCACUCCUGUUAGAUCACGAUCCGUCACCACCACGCUUGUUAGAUCACGAACUGUCACCAAUGAUCUUCCAGGUUAUGACUCAGGUUCGAUCUGCACUUGACGUGUGGGCGCCGUUCUCACUACCAAAGCAACUAGCACGAGAAAAUUUUUCUCUCAACAAUAGAGAGAAAAAUCUUUUCUCUGAUCUGUAUAAAGUGGCUUCCCCCUUUUUUCUUUUGGGAAAAAUAAGCCUUUUAUAUCAUCCUUUAGUGAAAACCCUAGGCUCCAAAUAAUAAUAAAAAAUAAAACUCACGUUACUUUUUAUUUUAUAGGGGACCCACCAUGUAAAAUAACAUAAGGCCCCUUAUACAUAAGCUUAUUAAAUGGAGCCUCCCACUAAAUGAUAUAUUUAUGCUUUUGACCCAAAUAGCUAGUUAUCUUACUUAUUAGUCUAGUAGUGGUGCAGUCAAUUAAAUGAGCUAACCCGGGGAUCAUUUGGGAACAUACAAUAGUGGCUACAAUAAUUAGGCCUGUAAUUAAACUAGCCCAAUUAUUUAAUUCCAAAUCUACUCCACUAAAAGAUUGGAACUGACUUCCAUAAUUGUAUGCUCGAAUAAUAAUUCGUCCCAAGCCACAUUGAUUUCUUUACAGCACAAUCCUUUGUACCACAUCGUUAAUUAAAUUGAUAUCUCAACUGUCCAAUCAAUUUAAUAACAUCUUAUUCCUUGAUACUUACUGGUUUUCUCUAAUGAUCAUUUUCAACAUACUAAAUAUGUUGAUACACUCUGGCCAGAGAAUUCUAUGAUCAAGUGUCGAAAACCCAUCAAGAGAUGUGUUAUACAAAUUCUAUAUUGUUAAUCUAUAACUCCAAUACUCAUAAAUGCUCCCACCAAGAUACCGGGUAAUCUAGACUACAUGUAUGUGUCAUGUCCAUUGGUAACUCAAAUGGAAUAAUAAUUAGAAUCAUGAAAUCAUAAUUAACUCAAGAUUAAGAUUACAGUAAAAUCAAUGCCUAUGAGAUUUAAUAAGUCUGACAAUUAUUACAAAGUUAAUUAAAUCUCAUAUGUGAUCCUGUUCAAUGUAGUCGUACUACAUCAAUAAAUUCAUACAUGAUUAAGACAAAUCAUUCAAUGAAUUUAUUAUAGUCUAUACCUAAAUAAAGUGUCCAACUUUACUUAUCAACUGCGAAUUAAAUUUAUUUAAUCAUAAGAUAACUUGUAUUUAUGUCUUCUGUGAAUCCACAUGGUGAUCACAUAAAUACAUAUAAUAUGAUUAAAUGGACUUUGAAUUAAAAUAUUAAUGCAAUUAAGAUAUUUGAAUAAAAUACCUCAGUUAUUUUAUUAAUCAGAAAAAUUGUUUAUUACAAUUAAAUAAACUUUUAUUAAUCAGAAAAAAUGUUCCUCAUUAAUUUUAUUAAUCAGAAAAAAUGUUUAUUACAAUUAAAUAAACACAUAUGCUUUUAAAGAGCAUAUUUUUCUAACAGUAAGAACCAGGGAAAAAAGCAGAACAAUUUCAAUUCUUUGAAACUAAGUGCAGUUAAGUAAAUUCAUAAUUUCAUAAGUUCUUUUAUAAUAUGAAAAUUGUAUUACUUCUAUAUGAAUUACUUAUAGUGUGGUUAAAUAGAGUGUUUCAGACUCAUGGAACAAGAAUGUUGAUAAGGUUAGCAAGCAAUGAACAACAGAAUUGAUUGAGGAAACUCAGGGUUAGAUUCUCACUAGUCCUGCAAUUAACAACUGGAAAAGUUAAAUCAAAUAAUAGCAAAUUCAAAUCUUAGGUGGCCACUUCUUUUGGCUCAGUCAGAAGUUCAGGUUUGAUAGCAGGUUCUAUAAUAUCUCCCCCACCAUGCACACAUCAUUAUCUUAAUUUUAUCAUGCUUGUAUGCCGGGAUGGAUGCUUGUAUGCUUGACUUCUGCCACAUUUCCAUUUCCAUACAUAUUCACUAUACAGUAGCGGCUCGACCUCUAGGCAACUUAGGUGGUUGCCUAGGGCCCCUCUUUAUAUGAGGGCCCCAUGAGAUGAUUAUUUUGUAAAUAAAAGAGGAAAGUGAAUUUAAAAGUCAUUAUUAUUCAUUUAAUUUAUGAUUAUUUUAUAAUUAUCUUUUCCUAAAUAAACUAUCAAAUUCCUAUAAAGUUUAUUUAAUAUAAUACUUAGUAGUUUUAAUUCCUACAAAACCGAUAAAUUCCAGAUUUUAUCUUUUUCCUAUUCUCGUAAUUGGCUGUGUUUAUUUAUUCUUAUUUCUUUUUAAUAUAUUCUUGUAUUAAUCUACUAUUUUUUGUGUGUGCUUGUUUUAUCUAUUUUGAAAUAAAACUAUAUCGAAAAACUUUAGAAAAUAGAAGAAUAGAAAAAUUAGUUUAAUCUAGAAAAGGAGCAGUAAAAAAGAUGUAAUUUGAAUUAAAAAAAAGUGAAAAUGUUAUAAUUGAAUUAAAAUUUCAUGGAUUAGCAAAAGUAGAAUAGAAUUUUAUUUAAUAAUUUUACAUUUUAGAGUAUUUAAAGAAUUAAUUUUCAAUAAAUAAUAUAUAACUAAUAUAUAUAUAUAUAUUUUGUCUUAAAUUUUAAGAAGAACUAAUUGAAAUCAUUUACCUAAGGCCUCAAAUAUGGUUGAGCCGGCCCUGUCACUAUAAAAGUAUAAUAGCAAGUAUUAGUUAGCUGAGCUGACUUUUGUUGACCAAAGCUUGUAUAGAAACUGAAUAACAGAACAACUUAUGAGGCUUGUAACCAAAAGGAUGCCUAAAGCUAAAGCCAACUAUUUUUAGUAGAAAUUGAGGGCACUAAACCUUUCUUCUCUUCCCAAGCUUUAUGCAAUUUCAAAGAAAAAUGUGAAACCUUUAAUCUUUGUUUUCCAUUUUUUACUUAUUUUAAUGAGAAAAUUCUACAAUUUAAUUAAAAAAAUUUUAAAGAUUAUAGUGGAAUUACUCCAAAAGAAUAUUGUAUUCUUUUUCCCUAUAAAACGCAAUUACAAUGAAGACGCCCUUAAUAAAAUACCUAAAGAAAUUUUUGCUUUCGGUGCGUAGAUUAUUGAAGCUGGCUUUUGUCAACAUCGUGUCGAUCAAAAUCAUUCUUCAUUAAUAUAUAUUAUUAUUGUACUUAUAUAUUCAUGCUUAGUAUUAUGUUCAUGUUUCGCUAUUACCUAAUUGAAAUUGCAUUCCGACUUGGAUUUUUAAUUUCUUGAUAAACUAUAUAUUCAUUUGAAUUAUGUAAUUUGAAGAUUUUCGUAUCAUUAGUCUGUGCUUGUUGGUUUUUUAUUUAUCUCAUUUUAAUAUAUCAAUUAUAAAAGGAAAAAACGACAUCAACACCCCUAAAUUUGAGGAAAUGAUCACCAACACCCCCAACUUUUUUAAAAAAAGACACCAAGACCCCUUUUUGACCAUUAAUCCUUUAAAAAAUUAAAUUUAAAAUUUUUAAUAGAUAGAAAUAUUAUAUAAAUAAUGUAAUCUACGCAACAGACUAAGAACAUUAAAAUAAUUUAAUAUUUUAAUAAAUUUAAAUAUAUAAAUUGUUAUAUUUAUUUAAUAAUAUAUUUUUAUUUAUUUUAGAUAUUUUAAAUAAAUAUUUGCAUUAAACAUAUCUUACAAUAAAAAAAUCUCACAUACUAAUGUUAUUACUAUUUUACAUAAUAUUCAAAAUAAUUUUAAUUUUAAUACACUUGUUUUAACAUUAUGAUUCUAUUUAUUAUAAAAUUUAAUUUUAUAUACUAAAAUAUAUCUAAUAGAUUGCAAAAUAUUAAAAUAUUUUUGAAGUAUUGAAAUUAUUUUACAAUGUAUAAAUUAUUACAUUUAUUUUAAUGUUAUAUUUCUAUUUAUUAUAAAACAUUAGAGUUGAUUCUUUUUUGGAUAAUAGAGGUUAAAGGGUAUUAUCGUUAAAAGAGGGUCUUGGUGUUCCAUUUUGAAAAUUUAUGGGUGUCGGUGAUUAUUUCCCUAAACUUUGGGGGUGUAGUUGUCAUUUUCUCCAUUAUAAUAUCUUUUUUUUGGCUAUUAUACCUUUUAAUUAUAGUAAUAUUAAAAUUGAUUUUAAAUUUUAAAAUAAGUACAAACAUAAUAUUAGAAUAAAUAAACAAAAAUAGUAAUUUUUAUUUUAGAAUUCCGAAUAUCUUGUUUUCAACAUAAGUAUAGUAUGUCAACUAGAUGGCAUCCUAAAAUAAAAAUUACAGAGAGGAAAUCAGAUUGCUAUUAUUAGACUAAAUAAUAAAAAAAUUAAUUUUUAUUUUGGAUUUAUUUAAAAGUAAUUGAUCACAAAAUAAAAAAACUUUAAAACAAUUGACCCAGGGCCAGCCUCGUUCGUCCUUUUAUAUAGAAUUGCAGGUAAAAAUCAUGCCCAGAACAUGUUUGAUAAAAUACCCAAGGAGGAAUGCAUCCACAGGAUAUGUUGAAGAGCAACGACAUGAUGCAGCUGUUGCUGUAACUUUGUGAUUUCCUAAGCAAUCAGAAUCAAACAGUCAACAAAAUCAACUUUAUGAUACAUCUAUUGCCACAAUUUUUUUUUUCGCAUAGAAAAUUCAAUAAAAUUAAUUUAAUAUUGUCCAGGUUCAAACAUUUUCUCGCUUUGCUUGUAGUGGGGGUUUUCGGCUCCUUCAAUUUGCUGGUAGUGUACUUUUUCGUUUGCUGAUUAUGAUUAUUUAGGAGCCAAACUUAUAACAUUUAAUUCCAAAAAAAAAANNNNNNNNNNNNNNNNNNNNNNNNNNNNNNNNNNNNNNNNNNNNNNNNNNNNNNNNNNNNNNNNNNNNNNNNNNNNNNNNNNNNNNNNNNNNNNNNNNNNNNNNNNNNNNNNNNNNNNNNNNNNNNNNNNNNNNNNNNNNNNNNNNNNNNNNNNNNNNNNNNNNNNNNNNNNNNNNNNNNNNNNNNNNNNNNNNNNNNNNNNNNNNNNNNNNNNNNNNNNNNNNNNNNNNNNNNNNNNNNNNNNNNNNNNNNNNNNNNNNNNNNNNNNNNNNNNNNNNNNNNNNNNNNNNNNNNNNNNNNNNNNNNNNNNNNNNNNNNNNNNNNNNNNNNNNNNNNNNNNNGAAAGGUCCAUCCGUCGCUUGGAUUGCUGAAUCGCUCUUUUGGAUAAAUUUUCCGUGCUUUCAACAAUAGAAAAUUAUAGAGAUUGAACAAUUAGCAACAUACAGAAAGUUAAAAUUACUACCAAAUGAGCAAUUAUACUUUUCCAGCAAGUGAUUUCUGCUUUCUUAGACUGCUGAAACGAUUAAUAUGAAACGAGCGAUUGGACAAUUAGAGAGACACAAUGCCCAGCCUGGACUUUUUUUUUUUUUUUGGUAGUUUCAAAUGAUGGAUUAUAGAAAGGAUAGAAUGAAAAAUAAGGAUAAAUUGGGAACUAAAUGGGUUCACUAAUAAGAAAUAAGAGUAAUUUAUUUUUAAUUGGUCUAUUAAAAGAUGGAGUCUAAUGAAAUAAAAUGAGGAGUUUAAAUAUCACUUUUUCCAUAGAGUUGGCCAACUAGCACUCUUCUAAUUUUUAAUUUUUUUUCUAUCAUUAAAAUUUAAAAUAGUAUUCUCUUCUUUGUUUUAUUUUACAAUCUUGUUAUGUAUAUGCAUAUUUUAAAUCCUAAUUUGACUUAAGUUAUACAGAUCAGAUAAAAUGUUUUUCAGGAAUAAUUGAUUCCCACGCCCUGAACGUGUUUGAUAAAAUGCCCAUAUAGGAACUCACAAAAUGAACAAGUAAAUGCUGAUGGAAAUCACAGCUUUUUCCCCCUCUGGUCAACAAGAUAAAACAGUACUUGGCUGAGCCUAAGCAGCUAAAAUAACAGCUUGAUUAAUGCUUUUCGCAGCAAGGAACCUACGAAAAAAGCCUUAAAUUAAUUGCUUCCGUCCAGACUCUUGCUUACUUUACUGAUCACCAUCAUUGUGGUAAUUUUGGCAAAGUGAUUGUAGUCAAUAGCUUUCCUCUGGUUUCUCCCUGAUUUUGUACUAAAUUUGGUGUCCGAGACCGCAACUGGUUUCCUGACAACUUGAAGCUGUACGGCCAAGGCGGAUGUACGGUACAGCAGUACAAUAAAAAAAUCUCACAUGCUAAUGUUAUUAUUAUUUUACAUAAUAUUCAUAAUAAUUUAAAUUUUAAUACACUUUUUUUAACAUUAUGAUUCUAUUUAUUAUAAAAUUUAAAUAUAUAUAUACUAAAAUAUAUCUAAUAGAUUGCAAAAUAUUAAAAUAUUUUUGAAGUAUUGAAAUUAUUUUACAAUGUAUACAUUAUUACAUUUAUUUUAAUGUUAUAUUUCUAUUUAUUAUAAAACAUUAGAGUUGAUUAUUUUUUGGAUAAUAGAGGUUAAAGGGUAUUAUCGUUAAAAGAGGGUCUUGGUGUUCCAUUUUGAAAAUUUGUGGGUGUCGGUGAUUAUUUCCCUAAACUUUGGGGGUGUAGAUGUCAUUUUUCCAUUAUAAUAUCUUUUUUUGGCUAUUAUACCUUUUAAUUNNNNNNNNNNNNNNNNNNNNNNNNNNNNNNNNNNNNNNNNNNNNNNNNNNNNNNNNNNNNNNNNNNNNNNNNNNNNNNNNNNNNNNNNNNNNNNNNNNNNNNNNNNNNNNNNNNNNNNNNNNNNNNNNNNNNNNNNNNNNNNNNNNNNNNNNNNNNNNNNNNNNNNNNNNNNNNNNNNNNNNNNNNNNNNNNNNNNNNNNNNNNNNNNNNNNNNNNNNNNNNNNNNNNNNNNNNNNNNNNNNNNNNNNNNNNNNNNNNNNNNNNNNNNNNNNNNNNNNNNNNNNNNNNNNNNNNNNNNNNNNNNNNNNNNNNNNNNNNNNNNNNNNNNNNNNNNNNNNNNNNNNNNNNNNNNNNNNNNNNNNNNNNNNNNNNNNNNNNNNNNNNNNNNNNNNNNNNNNNNNNNNNNNNNNNNNNNNNNNNNNNNNNNNNNNNNNNNNNNNNNNNNNNNNNNNNNNNNNNNNNNNNNNNNNNNNNNNNNNNNNNNNNNNNNNNNNNNNNNNNNNNNNNNNNNNNNNNNNNNNNNNNNNNNNNNNNNNNNNNNNNNNNNNNNNNNNNNNNNNNNNNNNNNNNNNNNNNNNNNNNNNNNNNNNNNNNNNNNNNNNNNNNNNNNNNNNNNNNNNNNNNNNNNNNNNNNNNUUUUCUUCUCUUGUCGAACAGGAUCAAAUAUAAACGUUUAAUGUUGAAGCGUCUUUGGUAGGCACCGAUACAGGGAUCAAUAAUUUAGACAUAGAGAGUAAUUGUUUAGGAAUUGUGUAUUAUUCCCAUGUCCAUAACAUGUUUGAUAAAAUGCCCAAGAAGGAACCAUAUGUCCAACGCUCCAACCUGUUGCCUUGAACAGAGAUGAUGCAUCUGUUACUCCAACUCUAUGAUUUCCCAAGAAAACAAUCAAUAUUUGAAUGUUUAGGUGCAGAUAGCAUAGGCUAGUAGCUUGUAAGAACCAGGCAAAAAGCAAAACAAUUUCAAUUCUUUGAAACAGAGAGCAGUUAAGUAAAUUCAUAAUUUCAUAACUUCUUUUAUAAUUUGCAAACUGUAAUACUUUUAUGUGAAUUGUUGUCAGUGUAGUUCAACAAAGUGUCUCAGACUCAUGGAACAAGAAUGUUGACAAGCUUAGCAAGCAAUGAAUAGUAGAACUGAUCGACAGGAGUGUCAUUAGGUAUAGGGGAACAAGACAGUCGCUUAAGGCCUCAUAUUUUAAGAAGGCCUCAUUUUUUGAGUAUUUUCUUAAUAAUUCUCUAAUUAAUAAAAAAAUUUAAUGCGUAUUUUAAGAAAUUAAAAAGUUUAUUAGAUAUCUCUCUAUUCUUCAUUAUCCUACAAUUAAAAAUUAUUUUUUAAUAAAAAAUCUAUAUUUGGGAACCUUAAUUUUAAAGAAAUAUAAUUAAUAAAAAUUAUGCAUUGACAUGGACCUUUAUUUUUUAUGUCUUUGUUCUUUUUUAAGUUGCAGGAAGUGUCGAAACCAAUACCGCAUUUAAGCAUUGUUGUUCCAAGAAGUAAAAUUCCAAUGUGUUGCAGGUAUCAGAAUGAAGGGUCUUCAAUAGCUGUCACAACGCCUUUAUUUUGGCGUAAAAGGAAUGAGGUGGUGGGAUAUGCUAUUUGCUGUGUUUUUAAUGUCCGCAAACAUUCACCUGGUACCAAAAGUUUGCGCUCAUACCCCACACAUCAGUUGAGCUGCCAUAAGAAAGAUUCUUAUAUCAGUAGUUAUAUUGAUUUUAGGGAAAAGUUCGGUCAAGCGGGGUCAGACCAUAUUUGGCUUUUAUAUUUGUCUCGUGAAGAAGGCUAUUUGCGCAAAUGGAAUUUUGAAUCUCAGGAUUUUGUGUUGUCAUUUCAGUCUGAUUCAGGCCCAGGAUUGGAGGUGAAGAGGUGUGGUUUCCAUCGAGUUUAUAAGCACGAAGUGGCGAAGUUCGACCAUGCAACAAACCUAUGGACUCGGUCUAUUGAUUAUAAUCUGAAUGGAAACGUUUGGUCUCGGUUUAUUGAUCAUCUGCAUGAAUUGUGUCAAAAUCGAGCUCAGCUCAACAAUGUAUGUACGGGGUCGGUUAAUUGAUUAUCUGGAUGAAAACCAAGGGGAGGAUUUCGACCAAACAACAAACCAAUGGACUUGGUUUCUUGAUCAUCUGAGUGAUUUUUUUCCAGAUGCAGGAAAGUUCAACCAAGCAUGUUAUUUGUUUUUUUAUUAUAUCCAAAUGCAAAGAAGAGUCCGAGACCUCUGGAGUCUGCGAAGAGCUCUCAAAAUGAAGGGAGUAAGGCCCAGCAGUCGAUAGGAUUUCGUUGACAUAAUCUUUAUGAAGAUUUUUUUUUUCCUUUGUUUAAUUGCUUGUUAUUUAAAUUUUUUUUUUGGAGACUUUGGCUGAAAAUUUUAAAUUUUAUGAAGUUAAAAUUGUAAUUAUUAUUUUUGGAAAAAAGUUGUGUGCCAUUUGUUGUGACUUCUAUUUGCUAUCACAAUUUGUUUUUUUAAAAAUUGAUUAUUAUUUUAUUUAUUAAUUUAAAAUAAAAAAUUUUACAAUUUUGGCUUCCUCAAUUUAAAAUUUAAUUUAUAAAAUUUAUAUGAAAGAAAAUAAAUUAAUAAAUGUAAUUAAAUUCAAAACCAAUGAACUAAAUUAUUGAACUUUAUCCUAAUCAGAAUACCAGAUUUCUCAGGGGUUCCAAAUUUAAAGGACCUAGAUCUUGGAGGAUGUACAAGAUUGCAUAACAUUCACCCUUCAUUGCUACUUCAUAAGAAAGCUUAUUUUAUUGAACCUUAAAGACUUCAGUAAUCUUACUACUCUUCUGAGCAAGAUGAAGAUGAAAUCCCUAAGAAAACUUGUACUUUCUGGUUGCUCUAAGCUGAAGAACUUUCUGGAGAUUGUGGGAACUGUGGAAUGUCUGUUGGACCUUUUUUUUGAUGGAACAGAUAUUAUGGAACUACCACCAUCAAUCCGGUUUCUUUUUGGACUUACUUUGUUGGAUUUGUAAAACUGGACCAAUCUUGUGGUACUUCCAAGUACUAUAAAGGGUUCAACAUCUCUUGAAAUGCUGAAUCUCUCUGGCUGCUCCAAAUCUAAAAAUAUUUUAGAGAGUUCUGAAAAAGUAGAAAGCUUUGAGGAGCUUGAUUUGACUGGAGCGGCUUCAAGGAACUGAGUGUGAAGAUAUGUGUAUGUGGACUGAAAUGAAGAAACUGGAAAAGUAUAGAGCUGUUGUGCAGAUUGACUUCAGUUGAUGGGGUCUAUUUGAUAUUUUCUGCUGACGUGGCAUGGAUUCGUUAUAAUCUGCUAUAACGAGCCCAACACACUGAUAUAAAACAGUGGCUGAUGGGUGGUGCCUGAUAUCGUGUUAAUAUCGUCUUCAUUUGUUCAUCAUUUUGCAUAGAAUCUGUUCCAUUGUGAUCUAUGCAUAAUCUUCUGUAAAUCACUUGUAAUUGGGUUAGUUCUUGAUCAAUAAUAAUGAGUAAAUUUUCCUUCCAAGUCUGCUGGUCUGUGUCUUUGUUUUGUCUCUGGUAUAGCUUCUUUGUUCUGGCUUUCUUGAUUUGAUUGUGUUCUUGGUGUUUCUACUCAUCAAGAUUCGUGAGUCUUGCUGUGAUUUAGACUUAAAAUUCUUAACACCGAGUGUGGUCCAUAUUUUCUAUGAAAAAUUUUGAAGCACUGUCUUUUCUUGGUUCCAAAUUAUCACAAUCAUCAACAUCACGUUAUUUGCGCUUCCCCAUCAAUUGGUUUCAAUCAAGGAGUUCACGUCCUUUAUCUUUGAGGUUGCCUUCUCUGUCAAAUUUGUGUUCAUUAAGGAAAUUGGAUCUCAGUGACAGUAAUUUGGGGGAAGGAGCAAUCCCCAGUGAUAUUGGCAACUUAUGCUCAUUAAAAGAGUUAUGUUUGAGUAGAAACAGUUUUGUUUCGCUACUGGCAAGCAUUCUUAAGCUUCGAGAACUGGAGUUGGAAGAUUGCAGAAGGCUUCAAUUUUUGCCACAACUUCCACCCAACAUAGAGCAAGUUUGAGUAAAUGGCUGUUUUUCGUUGGGAUCAUUAGCAGAUGUAUUGAAAUUAUGCAAGUCAGAGUACACGUUAAUUAGAUGUAUGGACUGCUUGGGAAUGCUCGGUACCAAUAAUCUGGCAUUUUCAUUGCUAAAAGAGUACCUCGAGGUCAGCCUCUCACAUUAUAUCUAUCAGCUGUUUAGGCAAUGGCAUAUUUUUAUUUUUAUAGUUAUUAUAAUUAUUAUUAUUUUUUAUUUUUGGGUUUCAGGCAAUGUCAAAUUCACGAUUUAGCAUUGUUGUUCCGGGAAGAGAAAUUCCAGAGUGGUUCAUGUGUCAGAAUAAUGGUUCCUCAAUAACACACGGAUGGCCUUCAUAUAAGUAUAAAAAGAAUAAGGUGUUGGAAUAUUGCAUUUGCCGUGUUUUUCGUGUCCAUAAUCAUCCACCUCCUGCCAGAGGGAGAAUACACCUCAGCACAUAUCAGUUGAAGUUCCGUACCAAAGAUGUAGGAUAUGUUAUUGAUUUUGGAAAGAAAUUCGGUCAGUGUGGGUCAUACCACUCUGGCUACUCUAUUUUUCUAUUCAAUACUGCAAUGACCAGAUUUGGCAUCUUGAAUCAGAUCUUGCUGAGUAUUGUGCAUCAAGGGCUUGAAUUAGCUCUGGAAGAAGAAGAUCCAGAGGCUUCUACAAGUUCUAUGACUGAUGAUAAGAAGACACAAAUACAGAAUCGAGCUCAUAGCACUCUAAUUUUGAGUCUUGGUGACUCAAUCUUGAGAGAGGUCUCUGAAGAGAAGACAGUCUUAGGGAUUUGGAACAAGGUUGAAACCUUGUGUAUGAAGAAGUCCCUGGCUCACAAAUUGUUCUUAAAGAAAAGGUUGUACACAUUCUCAAUGAGAGAAGGGGUUACAAUACAAGAUCACAUUGACACUUUUAACAAGAUCAUUCUUGAUCUUGAAGGGGUGGAAAAUGUAAAAAUCAGUGAUGAAGAUAAGGCAUUCUUCUUGCUGAGCUCUCUACCAAAGUCUUAUGAAGGCUUUGUAGAUACAAUGCUCUAUGGGAGAACCACUUUGACUAUUGAAGAUGUUAAAGCAUCCCUGAGUUCAAAAGAGAUUCAGAAGAACAAUGGGCUUGAAACAAGUAAUGGUGAUGGGCUAAUUGCCAGAUCAGAAAAGAAGAGAGAUCAGAAGAACAAAAAUCAAGGAAAAGGACAUGGAAAGAACCAAGAAACUGCAGAUAAGAAGAAAAAGAAGAGAAAAUGCUUCUACUGUAGGAAGGAAGGGCAUUACAUAAGGGAUUGUUUUGAGAAGAAAAAGAAGGAAAGUCAAGAGAAGUCAGGGGAUGCAGCUGUAGCCUCUGAUGAUAGUUCUGAUGGAUAUCAAAGUGCUGAUUUACUUGUGGCCUCAAACAGCAAUACUAAAGGUCAAUGGGUCAUAGACUUUGGGUGCUCUUUUCACUUAUGUCCUAACAAAACCCUAUUUUACAAAUAUGAAGCUGUUGAUGGUGGUAGAGUCUUAAUGGGAAACAAUAAUGUGUGUAAUAUUGUUGGUAUUGGUUCUGUAAAAAUCAAGAUGUUUAAUGGAACUGUAAGAUCUCUACAUGAGGUGAGGCAUGCUCCUAGGCUAAAGAGAAAUUUAAUCUCUUUAGGCAUGCUAGACAGCUUAGGGUAUAUCUUUAAAUCAAGAAGUGGUGGUUUAGAGAUAAGAAAGGGGACUGAGAUAGUGAUGAAGGGGGUUAAAGAGAAUGGCUUAUAUGUAUUGCAAGGCUCAUCAGUGCCUGUUCAAGAGGGAAUUUAUGCUGUUUCUGAGGAAGAUAGAACCAAGUUAUGGCACCUUAGGCUUGGUCAUAUGAGUAUCAAGGGGCUGCAAGAGCUUAGUAAACAAGGGCUACUUGGUGGGGAUAGAAUCCAGCAGCUGGAGUUUUGUGAAAACUGCAUUUUUGGCAAAUCACACAGGUCCAAGUUUAACUAGGGGGAGCAUAUGUCUAAACAAGUUUUGCUCAAGUCCCUUCCUCGAGUGGUGGCAGGUAUUUCAUGUCACUUAUUGAUGAUUACUCAAGGAAAGUAUGGAUCUACAUACUCAAGACCAAAGAUCAAGCCUUGGAAAAAUUCAAGGUGUGGAAAUCAUUGGUAGAAAAUCAGUAUGGCUUCAAGCUGAAAUGCUUAAGGACUGAUAAUGGCUUGGAAUUUUGUAGUAAAGAAUUUGAGGAAUAUUGCCAAAAGCAUGGCAUAAAAAGGCACAAAACAGUAAGGUUCACCCCCCAGCAGAAUGGUUUGGCUGAGAGGAUGAACAGGACCUUGGUAGAUAAAACCAAAUGUAUGUUAAUAAAUUCAAAGCUUCCAAGAAGCUUUUGGGCAGAAGCUGUCAAUACAUCAAGUUAUUUAGUUAACAGAAGCCCAUCUUUUGUAAUUGGCUUCAAAACACCAGAAGAAUUAUAGAAGGGAAAACCUGCAAACUACCAAAAUCUCAGAGUUUUUGGGUGCCUUGCUUACCUUCACAUCAAUCAAGGCAAGCUGGAUGCAAGGGCCUUAAAAGGAGUCUUUGUUGGAUAUCCUGAUGGGGUUAAGGGGUACAAAAUCUGGUGUAAGGAGCAAAAGAAGUGCAUAGUCAGCAGGGAUGUUGUGUUUCAUGAAUCUGUAUUACUGAAAGAAAGUGCAGAACAUGAUACUAGACUGCAAGAUAAUCCAGCAGCUAACAAACAAUCUGGAACUUCCAAGGUUAAGGUGGAGCUAUUGACAGAUAAAGGCAGUGAAAAAGAGGCAGCUUCUGAUGAUGAGAGGGCCACAGCUGAAAGUGAGGAACAUGAGGUAUCAGAAUUACCACAAGCUGACUUGCAGAGCUAUCAGUUAGCUAGAGAUAGAGUUAGCAGGAAAGUCAGAGCACCAGUAAGGUAUGGCUAUGCUAACUUAAUUGCCUAUGCACUAUUGUGUGCUGAUGAAGUGACAAUUGAAGAGCCUGCUAACUUCCCUGAAGCUAUGGAAAGUGUGCACUGUGACAAGUGGCUUGAGGCAAUGUAAGAUGAAAUGGAGUCACUUCAAAGAAAUCAGACCUGGACACUUAUACCAAAUCCAGGAAACAAAAGGUUGAUCAGUUGUAAGUGGAUCUUCAAGAGGAAGGAAGGAAUUCCAGAUGUUGAACCUCCCAAAUAUAAAGCAAGGCUAGUGGCUAGGGGGUUUACACAGAGGGAAGGUGUAGAUUUCAAUGAAAUUUUUUCUCCUGUAGUGAAGCACAGUUCAAUAAGAAUUUUAUUAGCCAUGGUAGCUUUACUUGACUUGGAGCUGGAGCAGAUGGAUGUAAAAACAACCUUCCUUCAUGGUAAUCUUGAAGAACAGAUAUUGAUGGAACAGCCUGAAGGUUUUGAGUGUAAGGGUAAGGAGGAUUAUGUUUGCCUGCUACAUAAGUCCUUGUAUGGACUCAAGCAAUCCCCUCGACAGUGGUACAAAAGGUUUGAUGAUUUUAUGGUCUCAAAGGGCUAUCACAGAAGCAGAUAUGAUAGCUGUGUUUACUUUGGUGGAUCAGAUCAAGCUGGAGUUGCUUAUUUGCUUCUGUAUGUUGACGAUAUGUUAAUUGCAAGCAAAUACAAGUCAGAAAUAGAGAGGUUAAAGAAUCUGUUAAAGGCUGAGUUUGAAAUGAAGGAUCUUGGCAAUGCCAAAAGAAUCCUUGGGAUGGACAUUAUCAGAGAUCUUGGCAAUGCUAAAAGAAUCCUUGGGAUGGACAUUAUCAGAGACAGAUCUGCUGGCACUUUAUUCUUGAGUCAAGAGAAAUAUAUCAAGAAAGUUCUGGAGAGGUUUGAGAUGCAAGACUGUAAACCUGUUCAGACUCCACUUAGUCCUCAAUUCAAGUUGUCAGCAGCUCUAACAUCAGAAGAUGAGUCUUAGAUGAAUGAAUUCCCAUAUGCACAGGCUGUAGGGAGCCUGAUGUAUGCAAUGGUAUGCACCAGGUCAGACAUAGCUUAUGCAAUAAGUGUUGUCAGCAGAUUUCUCAGUUGUCCAGGCAAGGUUCACUGGAAUGCUGUCAAAUGGAUAAUGAGGUAUCUAAAGGGUUCUUCUACUUGUGGUUUGCUGUAUGGGAAGACUAAGAGUGACAAAAUUGAAGUCAUGGGGUUUGUAGACUCUGGCUUUGCUGGAGAUCUUGACAGAAGAAAGUCUACAUCAGGAUAUAUGUUUGUGUUAAAUAGUUGCCUGAUUAGCUGGAAGUCAUCACUUCAGACUGUGGUUGCUUUAUCCUCAACUGAAGCUGAGUUCAUUGCAACUACAGAGGCAGUAAAGGAGGCCAUGUGGCUAAGGGGCUUGCUUAAUGAGCUAUGGUUAAAUCAGAAGACUGUUCAGGUUUUUUGUGAUAACCAAAGUGCCAUACACCUGGUAAAGAAUCAGAUGUAUCAUGAAAGAACUAAGCACAUUGAUGUGAAGCUCCAGUUUAUCAAAGAUGAAGUUAGAAAGGGUACAAUGGUUGUGUCCAAGAUCCAUACUAGUGUGAAUCCAGCUGAUGCUCUUACAAAAUCACUUCCCACUGCAAAAUUUGAGUUCUGUGUAAAUCUAAUGGGCAUCUUGCCCAAAUCUAACUAAAUUCAAAAGAUGAAUUGUAGUUGAAUGAAGGUUUUUAGGUGAUGUGUUAUUGAAGGGAUCAACUGAAUCAACUGCAAGGUGGAGAUUGUGAAAAUAUGUGUAUGUGGACUGAAAUGAAGAAACUGGAAGGUAGAGAGCUGUUGUGCAGAUUGACUUCAGUUGAUGGGGUCUAUUUGAUAUUUUUUGCUGACGUGGCAUGAAUUCGUUAUAAUUUGUUAUAACGAGCCUAGCACACUGAUAUAAAACAGAGGCUGAUGGGUGGUGCCUGAUAUCGUGUUAAUAUCGUCUUCAUUUGUUCAUCAUUUUGCAUAGAAUCUGUUCCAUUGUGAUCUGUGCAUAAUCUUCUGUAAAUCACUUGUGAUUGGGUUAGUUCUUGAUCAAUAAUAAUGAGUAAAUUUUCCUUCUAAGUUUGGAGAAACUAAAGGUUCAUAUGGAUACAAGGUCUAAUGAUGUUCGUAUGAUCGGGAUAUGGGGUAUGGGAGGUCUAGGAAAGACAACUCUUGCAAGAGUUGUUUAUGACUUGAUCUCUCACGAGUUUGAUGGGAGUAGUUUUCUAGCCGAUGUCAGAGAAAAAUGUGAUAAAGAAGGGAGUGUAAUCUCUUUGCAAAAGCAGCUUCUUUCCGAUUUACUGAAGCUUGCAGAUAAUAGCAUACGAAAUGUCUACGAUGGUAUUAACAUGCUACGAAUUAGGCUGCGACAUAAAAAGGUUCUUGUCGUAAUCGAUGAUGUGGCUCAUCCUGAUCACCUACGAAGUUUAGUUGGAGAGCCUGAUUGGUUUGGUCCAGGCAGCCAGUGUUGGGGAAAAAUCAGGUUUUUAAAUUUUUAUAAAACCUUUUGAAGAUCGCUCUCAUAUAAUAUAUAAGAAUUUGUAUUCUAGAAAUCGUACCUUGAAAAUCUGAGUUGGCUUUUUCCGCUGAAGUGAUUUAGGCUCGUAGAUCACGAUCCGCCACCACCACUCCUGUUAGAUCACGAUCCGUCACCACCACGCUUGUUAGAUCACGAACUGUCACCAAUGAUCUUCCAGGUUAUGACUCAGGUUCGAUCUUAAUUAUUAUUAUUUUUUAUUUUUGGGUUUCAGGCAAUGUCAAAUUCACGAUUUAGCAUUGUUGUUCCGGGAAGAGAAAUUCCAGAGUGGUUCAUGUGUCAGAAUAAUGGUUCCUCAAUAACACACGGAUGGCCUUCAUAUAAGUAUAAAAAGAAUAAGGUGUUGGAAUAUUGCAUUUGCCGUGUUUUUCGUGUCCAUAAUCAUCCACCUCCUGCCAGAGGGAGAAUACACCUCAGCACAUAUCAGUUGAAGUUCCGUACCAAAGAUGUAGGAUAUGUUAUUGAUUUUGGAAAGAAAUUCGGUCAGUGUGGGUCAUACCACUCUGGCUACUCUAUUUUUCUAUUCAAUACUGCAAUGACCAGAUUUGGCAUCUUGAAUCAGAUCUUGCUGAGUUGUCACUUUGGCCUGACACGGGCCCAAGAUUGGAGGUGAUAAGGUGUGGUUUCCAUCCAGUUUAUAUGCAUCCAGUGAAGGAGUACAACCGAACAGCGUACCAAUGGAAUCGUGUUACUGCUUAUAAUCUGAAUGGAUGCCAUCAGAAUUUUGAGGGAUCAAAGCCAAGUCUUAUUGAAUACGUUGGGUCGGAAGCCAGAGGAAGUGACUGCUGUGAUGAUGAGGAACAGCAACAACAGCCUAAAGAGUUAGAGAACUCGAAUAAAAUGUGAAGCUUACGUAUUAUUCUAGGGAUUUGUCAGACAGUAUGCAUUUGAACACAAUUUCAGUUUAUGAAUUUUGUCAAGAGUUGAAUUUUGCGAUUUCUCAUUAGUUGAAAAGUAAUGAAAGAGGGGAAAAAAAAAACUUACAAGACUGAAAUGAAUCCUCUGUUUUAUUAUUGAAGUUUUAUAAAUAUGGUACACAUUUAACUGAAAACCAUUAAUUUUACAACAACAGUACCUUUAUUUUAUUUGCAUCCAAGGCAUGAAAAUGACUCGCUGAGGGGUUUUGAUCUUGAAUGAGAUGAGGACUUAACUAUAAGGUAAUGACUUACAAUCUUACAUUCCCUACUGAUUGCACGAAAGAUGCCGGAGGCAGAGCUAGUUUUCGGUAUUCGGUAUACUUGAAGGGGCUGCGUAAUGAUUGAUUUAUAAAGGAAAAUAGAAUGUAAUAAUAAAUGUAAGAUUAAAAUUUUUCUAGUGGUGUUUAGAAGAUUUUCAAUGUUUAAACAGCUAAGCUAGCCUUACCAUAAGGAUCAUAUCAUAUAUUUGAUAUAAUAUCGUUUUUUUUUUCUGUUUCAUUAAUCUUAUUUUAGGUUAAAUUGUAUACAAAAUUUCCUGGAGGAUGCUCAGACGGCAGUUUUGUCAGUAAUUUAAUAAACUAAAGAAGCACAUCUUUUUCCUGAGAUAAUAACUGCCUAAACUGCUAUUUAAUAAACUAAAGAAGCACAUCUUUUUCCUGAGAUAAUAACUGCCUAAACUGCUAUUUAAUAAACUAAAGAAGCACAUCUUUUUCCUGAGAUAAUAACUGCCUAAACUGCUAUUUAAUAAACUAAAGAAGCACAUCUUUUUCCUGAGAUAAUAACUGCCUAAACUGCUAUUUAAUAAACUAAAGAAGCACAUCUUUUUCCUGAGAUAAUAACUGCCUAAACUGCUAUUUAAUAAACUAAAGAAGCACAUCUUUUUCCUGAGAUAAUAACUGCCUAAACUGCUAUUUAAUAAACUAAAGAAGCACAUCUUUUUCCUGAGAUAAUAACUGCCUAAACUGCUAUUUAAUAAACUAAAGAAGCACAUCUUUUUCCUGAGAUAAUAACUGCCUAAACUGCUAUUUAAUAAACUAAAGAAGCACAUCUUUUUCCUGAGAUAAUAACUGCCUAAACUGCUAUUUAAUAAACUAAAGAAGCACAUCUUUUUCCUGAGAUAAUAACUGCCUAAACUGCUAUUUAAUAAACUAAAGAAGCACAUCUUUUUCCUGAGAUAAUAACUGCCUAAACUGCUAUUUAAUAAACUAAAGAAGCACAUCUUUUUCCUGAGAUAAUAACUGCCUAAACUGCUAUUUAAUAAACUAAAGAAGCACAUCUUUUUCCUGAGAUAAUAACUGCCUAAACUGCUAUUUAAUAAACUAAAGAAGCACAUCUUUUUCCUGAGAUAAUAACUGCCUAAACUGCUAUUUAAUAAACUAAAGAAGCACAUCUUUUUCCUGAGAUAAUAACUGCCUAAACUGCUAUUUAAUAAACUAAAGAAGCACAUCUUUUUCCUGAGAUAAUAACUGCCUAAACUGCUAUUUAAUAAACUAAAGAAGCACAUCUUUUUCCUGAGAUAAUAACUGCCUAAACUGCUAUUUAAUAAACUAAAGAAGCACAUCUUUUUCCUGAGAUAAUAACUGCCUAAACUGCUAUUUAAUAAACUAAAGAAGCACAUCUUUUUCCUGAGAUAAUAACUGCCUAAACUGCUAUUUAAUAAACUAAAGAAGCACAUCUUUUUCCUGAGAUAAUAACUGCCUAAACUGCUAUUUAAUAAACUAAAGAAGCACAUCUUUUUCCUGAGAUAAUAACUGCCUAAACUGCUAUUUAAUAAACUAAAGAAGCACAUCUUUUUCCUGAGAUAAUAACUGCCUAAACUGCUAUUUAAUAAACUAAAGAAGCACAUCUUUUUCCUGAGAUAAUAACUGCCUAAACUGCUAUUUAAUAAACUAAAGAAGCACAUCUUUUUCCUGAGAUAAUAACUGCCUAAACUGCUAUUUAAUAAACUAAAGAAGCACAUCUUUUUCCUGAGAUAAUAACUGCCUAAACUGCUAUUUAAUAAACUAAAGAAGCACAUCUUUUUCCUGAGAUAAUAACUGCCUAAACUGCUAUUUAAUAAACUAAAGAAGCACAUCUUUUUCCUGAGAUAAUAACUGCCUAAACUGCUAUUUAAUAAACUAAAGAAGCACAUCUUUUUCCUGAGAUAAUAACUGCCUAAACUGCUAUUUAAUAAACUAAAGAAGCACAUCUUUUUCCUGAGAUAAUAACUGCCUAAACUGCUAUUUAAUAAACUAAAGAAGCACAUCUUUUUCCUGAGAUAAUAACUGCCUAAACUGCUAUUUAAUAAACUAAAGAAGCACAUCUUUUUCCUGAGAUAAUAACUGCCUAAACUGCUAUUUAAUAAACUAAAGAAGCACAUCUUUUUCCUGAGAUAAUAACUGCCUAAACUGCUAUUUAAUAAACUAAAGAAGCACAUCUUUUUCCUGAGAUAAUAACUGCCUAAACUGCUAUUUAAUAAACUAAAGAAGCACAUCUUUUUCCUGAGAUAAUAACUGCCUAAACUGCUAUUUAAUAAACUAAAGAAGCACAUCUUUGGUAUCUUUGACUAUGUCUUUGAUUCCAUUCUCCACCGUCGACCAUAGUCACUCUUUAUAAUUAUCUUUUGCAAAAACUUUUGAGGAGAACUUGCAGCCGAAAAAUGAAGGAAUUAAUUAGAAGGCAUGAAACCCUCUUGUUGAUUUCUUUGAAACAACCUUAAUUGGAAUCCAAAGUAAAGAAAGUUAGCGAAAUUACAAAAUUGCUAAGGUACUUUACAAAAUUCAUGAUUUCCAAGCAUUGACAGAUAAUGCAUUAACUAAUACAGAAAUGAUCAAAUUACAAGCCUCACAGGUUGCUAUGUUUCUCUUGAAGGAUGACUCAAAUUCGUUAUGUUUGUUAAUGCAUUAACUUACAACUUCUGAAGUUUGUAACCAAGGAUGCCUAAAACCAAUUAUUUCUAAGAAAAAUGGACAGUUUUUUAAAGGAAUUUAGAUCUAUCACAAAUAGAUGUAGGCAAUUAAAAACAAAAAAUUAACAACUUAAUUAAUUUUUCGGAAGUACUGUUUACCGUUACUGUUUGCUGCAACUGUUCACAGUUACUGUUUACGAUUAUUGUUCAUCUGCAUAAAAAUAUUAAUUUUCCAAAAACACAAUAAAAAGCAGAAAAUAAAUGACACAGAGAUUUUUAUGUGGUUCAGAUUAAUCAAUCCUACAUCCACGAGGCCACGCCCAGAUGAAAAGCUAUUCACUAAGUUGAGAUAUUACAACCUAUGGAUUUACCAAACUUAAGACUCUCAUUUACAAUUUAUCACCAUACAGUUUACUUAACCUUAGACUGAAUUUGGUUCUUCUGAAUAAUUGCUACCCCUCUUGAUCCACCAUCCUCAAGGCAUUCUUCAAUUCUUCUACGUCCAGUGAUCCAAGAUCCACACAGAUUCUUCACGGAGAUGAAAAGAAGAUAAGAAAACAAAUCAACACAACAUUAUGCGUCAAAUCUGGAUUCUCUAGGGAGGAGGCCGAAUUUUGCUUCUUUGCUUUAUGCUCUGUGUUGUGCAUAUCUUCAAUUGUGAAAUACUUCUCUUUAUAUAAGCACUAGGGUUUUACCAAAAUAGCAAGUCUUAAAAGACUUGGAUUCGUUCCAAAAAAGAGUUUAUUUCCUCUUAUAAUUCCCAUGAAUCUGAAUAGGAAUAAAUCUUAUCUUUUUGCCUUGCUUUCUCCCAAGAAAUAUCUAGAGCAUUUAAUGAACUUCCUGUUUGAACCAACUUCUUACUCUAAAUAGAUCUCAUGCGCCAAGUAUAGAAUCCCACCAUUAAUUGACUUGCUAAAUAAGACAUCUAAUUAAAUUAGGAAACAUAUAUUCCUAAUAAAUUGGAAUAUCACUAAAUUAGGGAAUUAAUAAAUUAAUCCCUAUUAUAAGAUACGCAAUAAAUAAACUUCCAAUUUAACUAGACUUAACAUAAAAUGCCAACUCUAUAAAUAAUGACCUUAAUAGCUUUAAACCUUUCUUCUCAAGCUUUAAGCAACUUCAAAGAAAAAUGUCAAACCUUCAACCCUUACUUUCCAAUCUUUACUUAUUUUAAUGAGAAAAACGUCAAUGCUAAUUCGCAUGUCUUGAUGUUUAAUUAAUUAUUAGUAUCAACCGUUGGAUUCCAUUCCAUUUAAUGGAAUCCAAUGGUUUCAACAUGGGUAUUGGACAGAGUGGCGAAGCCGCUUAAUCAAUUAUUUGAAAUCUUAUAACAAUUUAAUAGAAAGAUUUACUAAAUGCAUACGACUCUGCUGUACCGUACAUCCGCCUUGGCCGUACAGCAGCUUUAUGAUACAUCUAUUGCCACAAUUUUUUUUCACGUAGAAAAUUCAAUUAAAUUAAUUUAAUAUUGUCCUGGCUCAAACAUGCUGCCGCUUUGCUUGUAGUGCGGAUUUUCGGCUCCUUCAAUUUGCUGGUAGUGUACUUUUUCGUUUGCUGAUUAUGAUUAUUUAGGAGCAAAACUUAUAACAUUUAAUUCGAAAAGAAAAAUUUUAGGAACUUAAGUAAGAGGCUGUUGAAUCAAUUGCUUGCAACAGGAGCAUUCUGCAGGGAGUUUCUCCAUAUGUUCUGUCCCCCGCAAACAUUUCACAAACCAUUUGCGUGUUGCUUUGGAACAAAAGGGAGUUACCCCUCUUGAUCCACCAUCCUCAAGGCAUUCUUCAAUUCUUCUACGUCCAGUGAUCCAAGAUCCACACAGAUUCUUCACGGAGAUGAAAAGAAGAUAAGAAAACAAAUCAACACAACAUUAUGCGUCAAAUCUGGAUUCUCUAGGGAGGAGGCCGAAUUUUGCUUCUUUGCUUUAUGCUCUGUGUUGUGCAUAUCUUCAAUUGUGAAAUACUUCUCUUUAUAUAAGCACUAGGGUUUUACCAAAAUAGCAAGUCUUAAAAGACUUGGAUUCGUUCCAAAAAAGAGUUUAUUUCCUCUUAUAAUUCCCAUGAAUCUGAAUAGGAAUAAAUCUUAUCUUUUUGCCUUGCUUUCUCCCAAGAAAUAUCUAGAGCAUUUAAUGAACUUCCUGUUUGAACCAACUUCUUACUCUAAAUAGAUCUCAUGCGCCAAGUAUAGAAUCCCACCAUUAAUUGACUUGCUAAAUAAGACAUCUAAUUAAAUUAGGAAACAUAUAUUCCUAAUAAAUUGGAAUAUCACUAAAUUAGGGAAUUAAUAAAUUAAUCCCUAUUAUAAGAUACGCAAUAAAUAAACUUCCAAUUUAACUAGACUUGGCAUAAAAUGCCAACUCUAUAAAUAAUGACCUUCACAGCUUUAAACCUUUCUUCUCAAGCUUUAAGCAACUUCAAAGAAAAAUGUCAAACCUUCAACCCUUACUUUCCAAUCUUUACUUAUUUUAAUGAGAAAAACGUCAAUGCUAAUUCGCAUGUCUUGAUGUUUAAUUAAUUAUUAGUAUCAACCGUUGGAUUCCAUUCCAUUUAAUGGAAUCCAAUGGUUUCAACAUGGGUAUUGGACAGAGUGGCGAAGCCGCUUAAUCAAUUAUUUGAAAUCUUAUAACAAUUUAAUAGAAAGAUUUACUAAAUGCAUACGACUCUGCUGUACCGUACAUCCGCCUUGGCCGUACAGCAGCUUUAUGAUACAUCUAUUGCCACAAUUUUUUUUCACGUAGAAAAUUCAAUUAAAUUAAUUUAAUAUUGUCCUGGCUCAAACAUGCUGCCGCUUUGCUUGUAGUGCGGAUUUUCGGCUCCUUCAAUUUGCUGGUAGUGUACUUUUUCGUUUGCUGAUUAUGAUUAUUUAGGAGCAAAACUUAUAACAUUUAAUUCGAAAAGAAAAAUUUUAGGAACUUAAGUAAGAGGCUGUUGAAUCAAUUGCUUGCAACAGGAGCAUUCUGCAGGGAGUUUCUCCAUAUGUUCUGUCCCCCGCAAACAUUUCACAAACCAUUUGCGUGUUGCUUUGGAACAAAAGGGAGUCGUUGUAUUUAGGGACGACCAGGAACUCGAGAGAGGAAAAGUAAUUUCACCAGGACUACUUACAGUAAUUGAAGAAUGAAGAAUUUUAAUAAUUGUUUUCUCAAGAAACUAUGCGUCUUCCACUUGGUGCUUGAAGAACCAAGAAUUUCAAUAAUAUCUUUCAUAAAUUUGAAGUCAGAAAACAACUAAAUCAUCUUAAAAAGAAAAAAAAAUUAUAAUUUACACUUUUAAAAACAAUUAGAUCAAAUCUCUUCAUUGGCAGCUAACAACAUCAAUUCCAUAUCCAAGUCAGCAAGUUUGGAAAGGUCCAUCCGCCGCUUGGAUUGCUGAAUCGCUCUUUUGGAUAUCUGCAAUACACUCAAAAGCUGUAAGUUCUAUCUUAUACAUCUCUCUCUUUUAUUUUUCAGAAUUAAUUUGUAGAUCUUGAUGUUUAAAAAUAAAAAAAAUAAAUAAAUCGAAAGAAAUCUUUGAAUGUUAAUUUUGUGCAAACUCUUUGCCUUUUCUUAGUUAGAUACUCUAAUCGAGAUUUGCUUAAGUAGAAAUGGGCGUGCACACUCUCCAAUCAGCAUGUGCGAAAAAAUUUCUAUUACAUUCUGAAAUGAGAGGCUGAUGGAUUAUCUGUUUAGUUCGUUUAACAGAAUAAGAUCAUUAGUUUUGAAAUCAUAACCAGUCUCAAGUUUAGUAACUUUUUACGUUAGUGAACUCUGACUUUAGUAUAUAUUUACGCACAAUUUAUUGUCAGUUAUAUUUAAUCAAAUUCGCUCAUACCAUCAAGGUUAUAAAGAAAAGAAAAAGUGCGAGUUAUAAAUGUUUGUCCUCUUUUAGGUGGUUGAAAAAGAAAAUGGAAAAUUCCUAGUUUUUGUCAAUUUUUCUAUCAAAAUUUCUUUGCAUAUAUAUAAUCUCGAUGAUUAGUUAUAACCUUAAAACUUUUAAUUCUUUCUAGUGAUAUUUAUUUAACUCUAAUAAUUUCUUUUAACAUGAAGUUAUUGUAAAUUAGUCUGUUAUAAAACAAAACACAAGACCUAGGUGAAAGGACAUCAUGAAAGUUGAAAUUCAUUGGGCACGGAUUAAGCAAUAUCUUGUAAUCAAAUGUUUACUUUUAUUAUAUAAAAACUAUUUCAAUAUUUAUUUCUCAUUUUUAUUAAAAUAAUAUAUUAUAAUUUUUGUUAUAAAUUUAAAUUACAUAUUUAAAUAAAAUAUUAAUAUUCAAUAUUAAUAAGUAUUAUAAUAUUUUUUUAUUUUUAUUAUGUAAAAGAAUUAUAAUCAAUUAAAUUUUAUUUUUACGUAAGCUUAUUAUUUACUUAAAUAAAAAGUACUACUUUAUUAAUAAGCUUCUAAUUUUUAUUAAUAAUGAGAAAUAAUAAAUUUAAUAUCAAUAAUAGUAUAAAGAAAUUAAAUAAACAAUACCUUUGCGUAAUACACUAAACAUCAUUUAAUGGAAUCCAAUGGUUUCAACAUGGGUAUUGGACAGAGUGGCGAAGCCGCUUAAUUAGUUAUUUGAAAUCUUAUAACAAUUUAAUAGAAAGAUUUACUAAAUGCAUACGACUAUUUUUAAAACUCACAAAACUUUUGAAAAUAAAUUUAUCAAACAUCUAAUUAAUUAUCUUUACAGAUGAUUAUUUAUAUCACACAGUUAAUGAUAAUUAUUUUAAAACUACAACAUUAUUAAAUUGAUCCAACAUCUCCUAAGGACUCGAACGAAGUUUUACUAAUAAAAGGUUUCUAAUAAAAGGUUUACCAUUCCUAUAGAUUGCCGGCAAUUUAACUAUUUUUAUCAAUUAUUGAUAUCAACCAUUGGAUUCCAUUCCAUUUUAAUGAAAUCCAAUGGUUUCAACGUGGCUAAUGGGUAGAGUGAUGAAGACGCGUAAUCAAUUGGAAAGCCAGAUAAUUUCCGUUUAGAUUCCUUGAAGCUUCCGGGAAGUUUGAUGGUAACUUCAUCAUGAGAGUAGACAGUGACAGUAUUUAUUAACUCUUUCACCAAGACUUGCUUUUGGAAAUAUAAUACAACAACACAACUGAGUGAGCAGCGAGGGAAAUUUAACUGACUGAUUGCUUAAUUUUUUCCAAAAGAAUAUAUUUGCUUGAUUAAAUCCUUUGAAUCAAAUACUGCAGUGGAGUUCGUCUAACUAGCUUUCUGCAAUACACUCAAAAGCUGUAAGUUCUAUCUUAUACAUCUCUCUCUUUUAUUUUUCAGAAUUAAUUUGUAGAUCUUGAUGUUUAAAAAAUAAAUAAAUAAAUAAAUCGAUAGAAAUCUUUGAAUGUUAAUUUUGUGCAAACUCUUUGCCUUUUCUUAGUUAGAUACUCUAAUCGAGAUUUGCUUAAGUAGAAAUGGGCGUGCACACUCUCCAAUCAGCAUGUGCGAAAAAAUUUCUAUUACAUUCUGAAAUGAGAGGCUGAUGGAUUAUCUGUUUAGUUCGUUUAACAGAAUAAGAUCAUUAGUUUUGAAAUCAUAACCAGUCUCAAGUUUAGUAACUUUUUACGUUAGUGAACUCUGACUUUAGUAUAUAUUUACGCACAAUUUAUUGUCAGUUAUAUUUAAUCAAAUUCGCUCAUACCAUCAAGGUUAUAAAGAAAAGAAAAAGUGCGAGUUAUAAAUGUUUGUCCUCUUUUAGGUGGUUGAAAAAGAAAAUGGAAAAUUCCUAGUUUUUGUCAAUUUUUCUAUCAAAAUUUCUUUGCAUAUAUAUAAUCUCGAUGAUUAGUUAUAACCUUAAAACUUUUAAUUCUUUCUAGUGAUAUUUAUUUAACUCUAAUAAUUUCUUUUAACAUGAAGUUAUUGUAAAUUAGUCUGUUAUAAAACAAAACACAAGACCUAGGUGAAAGGACAUCAUGAAAGUUGAAAUUCAUUGGGCACGGAUUAAGCAAUAUCUUGUAAUCAAAUGUUUACUUUUAUUAUAUAAAAACUAUUUCAAUAUUUAUUUCUCAUUUUUAUUAAAAUAAUAUAUUAUAAUUUUUGUUUUAAAUUUAAAUUACAUAUUUAAAUAAAAUAUUAAUAUUCAAUAUUAAUAAGUAUUAUAAUAUUUUUUUAUUUUUAUUAUGUAAAAGAAUUAUAAUCAAUUAAAUUUUAUUUUUACGUAAGCUUAUUAUUUACUUAAAUAAAAAGUACUACUUUAUUAAUAAGCUUCUAAUUUUUAUUAAUAAUGAGAAAUAAUAAAUUUAAUAUCAAUAAUAGUAUAAAGAAAUUAAAUAAACAAUACCUUUGCGUAAUACACUAAACAUGUCAUAACUUAAUGCAAUGCCAUUCAAUAUAGCUUAAGCAAUAUAAUGUGAUGCACUAAACACCAUAAGUUUGUUAUUUGCACAGUAUUGUUUCUAGGAUUUCACUUGAUUUAUUCUAAAUUUUCAGGAACAAAUUGAUAGACAAUGGCUUCUAUGAGCAUCCAAAAUGUGUCUCACGAGAAAUAUGAUGUCUUCUUAAGCUUUAGAGGAGAAGACACUCGUAAAAGUUUCACGAAUCAUCUCUAUGCUGCGUUGAAAAAUAAAGGCAUUUAUGUAUUCAGGGAUGACAAAGAACUUGAGAAAGGAGGAUCCAUUUCACCUGGACUCCUUAAAGUAAUUGAAGAAUCAAGAAUUUCAGUUAUUGUUCUUUCCAAAAACUAUGCUUCUUCCACUUGGUGCUUAGAUGAACUUGUUAAGAUUGUUGAAUGCAAAAACAGAGAAAAUCAAAUUCUUCCAAUUUUCUAUGACGUGGAACCAACUGUGGUAAGGAAACAGACAGUAAGUUUUGGAGAAGCUUUUGCUAAACACGUAGAAGCUUUUAGGAAUAAUGUAGAAAAGGUGCAGAAGUGGAGAGACGCUUUAAAAGUGGUGGCCAAUAAAUCUGGCUGGGAAUUGAAGGAUGGGUAAUCAUUCUUAUUCUUUAUUAUUAAUUCUUUUUUUGUUUUGGUUUUGCAUUAUUAGUAACUACGAAACAAAUUUUAAUAUUCAUGAUUCAACACUGUUUUCAAUUACAAUAGUAAUACUGUUAAUGAAUUAAUAUUUGCAAACGAAGACUAUAUAAUAUGUUCUGAUGCUUUGUGCUCUAUUAAUCAGAUUUAAAAAAUAAAAAUGAAACUUUAUUCUUAGAUUGACUAUCGAGCUAGAUUGCUAAAUACUACUAAUAGCAAUGACAACAGUCGCAACACCAAUCAUAUAUCAAUAUCAUUACCUAUUUAGCUAAUCUGAUCAAUUUCAUGUGUGUAAUAAAUGAUCUUGUCAAAAACUAAUCUAAAAUCUCUUUCAAUCUAAUUUACACUGUUACAGAGAGAAAUAAUAUACCAAUAAUAUUGGGAAAAAAAGCAGCAGAAGAAAUUAAAUAAUUUUUUAAUCCAAAAUCCACAAUGCAACCCAAUCCAGACCAAUUUUUUUGGGUCGGGUCAUUCCAACUGUUUCUUACUUAACUAUAACAUGUCACUUAAUUAUAUGACUUCAAUUUGAUGAAAUGAAUAUUGCAUAGUUGGGAUUUUAUUCAUAAUAUGGAAUUGCUUUGUUACUACGUUCAUACUUACUUUAAUUUAACAACACCAAUCUUUUCUUGUUGUUUUCAAUCUGCAGCAAUGAGUCAGAAUUUAUUGAGGAAAUUGUCAAUGUCAUAUCAAGCAAAAUUCGUACAGAACUAAAGAUUCCUAAGGAGCUAGUUGGAAUAGAAUCACGCUUGGAGAAACUAAAGGUUCAUAUGGAUACAAGGUCUAAUGAUGUUCGUAUGAUCGGGAUAUGGGGUAUGGGAGGUCUAGGAAAGACAACUCUUGCAAGAGUUGUUUAUGACUUGAUCUCUCACGAGUUUGAUGGGAGUAGUUUUCUAGCCGAUGUCAGAGAAAAAUGUGAUAAAGAAGGGAGUGUAAUCUCUUUGCAAAAGCAGCUUCUUUCCGAUUUACUGAAGCUUGCAGAUAAUAGCAUACGAAAUGUCUACGAUGGUAUUAACAUGCUACGAAUUAGGCUGCGACGUAAAAAGGUUCUUGUCGUAAUCGAUGAUGUGGCUCAUCCUGAUCACCUACGAAGUUUAGUUGGAGAGCCUGAUUGGUUUGGUCCAGGCAGCCAGAUCAUAAUAACAACGAGGAAUGAACAUUUGCUGAAGUUGCAUCGAGUCAGGAAAGUUUAUAAGCUUGAGGCACUGACUUAUGAUGAGGCAUUUCGACUACUUUGUUUGAAAGCCUUUGAUACCCAUAAGCCUUUCGAAGAAUAUGUAGAGCUAGCUGAAAGCGUAGUAAAGUAUGCCAGUGGUCUUCCAUUAGCUCUCAAGGUUUUGGGUUCAUUUUUGUUUGGUAGAGCUGUUCAUGAAUGGACAAGUGCCCUAAAAAGGAUAAAAAGAGAUCCCGAAUAUGAGAUUCUAAGUAUACUCCAAAUAAGUUUUGAUGGGCUGAAAGAAGUAGAGAAGAAAAUAUUUCUCGAUGUUGUGUGUUUCUUUAAAGGGCGAAAGAGAGAUUAUGUAUCGAAAAUUCUCAAAAAGUUGUGAUUUUGACCCAGUUAUUGGAAUUGCUGUUCUUAUUGAAAAAUCUUUAUUAACAGUAGAUGGUGCCAACAGACUGUGGACGCAUGAUUUGUUACAAGAAAUGGGUCGACAAAUUGUUAGGAGACAAUCCCUCGAGGAGCCAGGAAAACGUAGCAGAUUGUGGGAGGAAGCAGACAUAUGCCAUGUAUUGUCACAAAACACAGUAAGUAACUAAUAAAGAGGAUAAAAAAUUAUUUAUUUUCCAGCUCUGCUCACUUCCUUUUUGCUAGUUAAAUCUCUAACGAACGACUUUGUUUAUAAUUUUUAGGGACGUGAAGCAGUUGAGGGAAUAAUAGUUGAUCAUUAUUACUUCCUCAAAGAUAAUGUGAAUUUAAAUGCAAGUGCUAAAGCAUUUUCGCAGAUGACCAACCUAAGAUUGCUUAAAAUCAGUAACGUGCAACUUCCUGAAGGCCUUGGAUACCUUUCAAGCAAGUUGCGGUUACUUGAUUGGCAUGGAUAUCCUUUGAAAUCUUUGCCAUUGAAUUUGCAAUUGGAUAAAGCUGUUGAAUUUAGUAUGUGUUAUAGCUGCAUUGAGGAAUUGUGGACGGGAAUCAAAGUAAGAUCAAUAUUUAUGUCACUUAUCUAUGUUUUUUUAGUGAAUAACUGUUGAUAACAAUUUCACUGUUAUAGCUAUAUAUAUAUAUAUUAAGAAAUAUCAUUUUAGCUCCUUUUUAUUUUCAACAGCCUUUAAACAUGUUGAAAGUCAUGAAACUCAGCCAUUCAGAGAAUCUGAUUAAGACACCAAACUUCACAGAGGUCCCAAAUUUGGAGGAGUUGGAUCUUGAAGGAUGUACAAGAUUGCGUGAUAUUCACCCAUCUUUGUUGCUUCAUAAUAAGCUGAUUUUGUUGAACUUGAAAGGUUGUACAAGUCUUACAACUCUUCCGGGUGAGAUAUUUAUGAAAUCGCUAAAACACUUGUUCUUUCUGGUUGCUUUGAAAUUGAGGAAAUUUCCACGCGUUGCGGGAAGUAUGGAGUGUCUGCGGGAACUUCUUUUGGAUGAAACUGAUAUCAAAGAAAUCCCACGAUCAAUUGGACAUCUAUCUGGACUUGUUCAGUUGACUUUGAAAGGCUGCCAAAAUCUCUCGAGUUUACCAGUUACUAUAAGCAGUUUAAAACGUCUAAGAAAUCUAGAGCUCUCUGGUUGCUCGAAACUGAAGAAUUUUCCACAGAUUGUGACGAGUAUGGAAGAUCUAUCCGAGCUCUAUCUGGAUGGAACUUCCAUUACAGAAGUGCCAUCAUCUAUUGAACUUUUGACCGGACUUGAAUUGUUGACUUUGAAAGGCUGCAAAAAUCUCACAAGACUAUCCAGUAGUAUAAAUGGUUUGAAGUCCCUCAAAACUUUGAAUCUCUCAGGCUGCUCCAAACUUGAAAAUGUGCUGGAGACGCUCGGGCAAGUAGAAAGUUCGGAGCAACUUGAUAAAAGUGGAACAACUAUAAAGCGCCCUUCAUCCAACAUUUUUCUUAUGAAGAAUUUUAAAGCUCUAUCUUUCUGUGGGUGCAAUGGAUCCCCAUCAUCUACAUCAUGGCAUUUGCACGUUCCUUUCAAUUUGAUGGGAAAAAUUUCAUGUCCCGCAGCUUUGAUGUUGCCUUCUUUGUCAGGUUUGUGCUCUUUAGAAAAAUUAGAUCUCAGUGACUGUUGUCUAGGAGAAGGAGCAAUCCCGACUGAUAUUGGCAACUUAUGCUUAUUAAAAGAGUUGUGUCUGAGUGGAAACAAUUUUGUUACGCUGCCAGCAAGCAUUAACAGUCUUUUAAAUCUUGAAGAACUAAAGUUGGAAGAUUGUAAAAGGCUUCAAUCUUUGCCACAACUUCCACCCAACGUAGAGAAAGUUAGAGUGAAUGGUUGUGCUUCGUUGGUGACAUUAUUAGGUGCAUUAAAACUACGCAAGUCCGACAAGACAAUAAUUGAUUGUAUGGAUAGCUUGAAAUUGCUCAGAAAGAACGGUUUGGCAAUUUCAAUGCUACGAGAGUACCUUGAGGUUAGUCUCUCACUUCGUAUUUUCCAGCUAUGCCAGGAUUAUGCCUAACAAUUAAGCAAUGGUAUGGACUUGUUCAUUUUUUUUUUUGGUUGCAGGCAGUGUCAGCUCCAAGCCAUAAAUUCCAUAAAUUUAGCAUUGUUGUUCCAGGAAGUGAAAUUCCAAAGUGGUUCAUUUAUCAGAAUGAGGGUUCUUCAAUAACAGUCACAAGGCCUUCAUAUUUGUAUAAUAUGAAUAAGGUUGUGGGAUGUGCCAUUUGCUGUGUGUUUCAUGUCCCUAAACAUUCAACUGGUAACAGAAGACGGAGGCAUUCAGAUCCCACACAUGAGUUGCUCUCCUCUAUGGAUGGUUCUAGUGUCAGUCAUUUCAUAGAUUUUAGAGAGAAAUUCGGUCAUCGUGGGUCUGACCAUCUUUGGCUGCUCUAUUUUCCUCGUCAAAGCUCCUAUUAUAGUAUGUGGCAUUUUGAAUCUAAUCAUUUUAAGUUGUCAUUUAUUGAUGCACGAGACAAAGUCGGUCUGGCUGGGUCAGGUACUGGAUUGAAGGUGAAGAGGUGUGGCUUUCAUCCAGUUUAUAUGCACGAAGUUGAGGGGUUGGACCAAACAACAAAGCAGUGGACUCACUUUGCUUCUUAUAAUCUGUAUGAAUCCGAUCACGAUUUUGUUGAAUCAAAUAUGGAAGUAGCCACAACAUCAAAGCGAAGCCUUGCAGAAAAUGCUGGGGCAGCUGAUGCCAGUGGCAGUGACUGUUGUGAUGAUGUUGAAAAACCACUUCCUAAAAUUUGUGAUUUCUCAUGAUCGAAAAUUAAUCAUCUGUUUUGUAUUAUUACUUAUGCCUCUGUUUCAUUGCAGUAUUCUCUCAUUUCGUAUCCAUUAUUUCAAGUGCGAGUUUUUGGGUUCACUUGAAGGGGCUGAGGACUGGGGUAAUAAUUGAUGAAUUGCAUACCAAUUGCUAUGAGUGAACAAUAAAAUAAGAAUCUCAUUGCAAUCUGGUUAUAUAUAUAUAUAUAUAUAUUCACUCUUUUGGCAUAUAGUUUCGAUUGUUCUAGUUGAGUAGGCCAGCUAAACUUAAUCUAAAUUAUACAGCACUUGAAGCUGAUAUGGAUUUUUGCUUGUUGAGAUUCUUACUGAAUUUGUGUAGAUUUUACUUAGAAUAAUACUAGCGCCUUCUGAGUAAACAUUACAAACUAAAGCAAUUUUAAGUCUGACAAAAAGCUGCGAACUAAAGUAAUUGUACAAAUUAUAACAAUUUGCAGAGAAAAAUGAAAUUGAAUGACAAAUGUACUUUGAUGAACUAAAAUUAUCAUUUAUAUAUAAAGAUCAUAUCAUUUAUUUUUUUGUAUGAGGAUCAUAUCACAUAUUUGACCAAAAAGAUUUUUGGCGAAAAAAUUAUUGUUCAUGGUCUUCUUCAGUGUAAACAUUUGAGAUUCUCAUCCCUUUUAUUUUGAUGUUGGAAAUUUUUUUGGGCAUUCAUGAAUUUGUUGAACUUAACUGUGCUUAUUUAAUUUGGGUUUCCUGACUUUUGUUGAGUUGUGUUGAUUCUUUUUACGUUGCAUUAUUGAUGCCUCUCUGACCUUUGCAUAAAACCUUUCUAUUAUUAUUUUCUUUUCUAGUUAUUCUUACUUUUAAUUCUAAAAAAUGACCUUUUUUAAUCACUCAUCUAAUUUUUAAUAUUAUUUUCUUAUCGAACAUGAGGUCUAGACUGCUAAACUUUUUUAAGAUUUUAGCUUAGGUCCUGGAUUCGAGUUUUAAUGGAUGUGUGAAUUAAAUUUAAAAAUGUCUUUUAUUUGCACGAGUUAAUCUAAAAAAUGUCUUUUAUUAUUUCUUUCCACACAGUUGGAUUAUUGCCACCCUUCUAAUAUUCUCAUAAGACCUUUUUUUUUUUGUUAUUCUUACUUUUAAUUCCGAAAAUGUCCCCUUUUUUAAUACACUCUUCUAAUCUUUUUUUUUUUAACAUUCUUAUUAAUUUGAAAUCUAUUCUACACGCGAAUUAAAAAGUUUUAUCGUUGAUGAAUUUUUCAAUGUUAAUCAUUGACUUAAACUAAAAAUGCUUUAAAUUAUAAUUUUGACUUAAAUUACACAGAUUUGAGAUUAUUAUUUGAAAGUAAUAUGAAAUUAAAAAAAUGUUCAACUAAUAAGAAUUAGAAAAAGAAUAAUAGAAUAUUUUGAAUCUAAGCAAAUUUAUUUUUGAUACAUCAGAAGUCAUUAGAUAAAAAACAAAAAAAAAAUGGAUUGAUUAUGAAUACAAGUAAUUUUUGGGGAAACAAGAUCUAAGUGAUUGCUAAUUCUUAUUUAUCCUUAAAUAUAGUUUUAUUUGAAACGAGGUUUUUUUAAGGACAAAGGGUUGCUCAUUAGGGAUGGUAGAAAAUUCUGGAUCCUGCCUGCAUCCGCAAAGAUCAAGAAGAUCCACCUCCGGAAAAAUCUGGAUCUGCAUGUUAAAAAAUAUGGAUCUGACCAAGAUCUAUACUUAUUCGGAUCCGGAUGUAAGUGCAUCCAAAGAACUGAGUAUCCGAGUCUGUAUUAUUUUAUAAUUAAAUUAUUUAUUUAAUUAAAUUUCAAUUGAAAAACAUAUAAGUUAAAUUAUUUAUUUAAUAUGUACAAGCAUUAUUAACUCUAUAAUCUUCAUUGACUAUGAAAAAUAUGUUAAAAAUUAAAAUAAUAAUAAUAAUAAUUGGAGAAUAUAGUAAUGAAUCGGUUUACCUUAGUUUUUAUUUUUAUUUUUUAGUUUGCAUGAGUUACAGACGAAAUUAGAAAAGAGUUACAAACAAAUGGAGAUAUAUACAUGAAGAAUAACCUAGAUGUUUGGGUUGGAUUUUUCUAGUAGUGUCUCAAAAUAUUAGUCGAUCCUAAUCUACUCAGAACUUAUUGUUGUUGAGCUGGCCUCGUAAGUAUAACCUGGAGCCUAUGUUGGCAACCUGGUUUACAAGUAUGACCUAAGAUCUAUGUGAAUGACCUAGUUUAAGAAUACAACCUCAACGCUAUAUGAGCGACUGAGAAAUUCAUCUGUUUGAUCUGAAAGUGAAGUAAUCCGACCUUGAAAUUCUCUUGUCCGACCUGAGAAUUAGCUUAACAUGGAAAAUUGCUAGUUAAGAGAACGUGGCCUAAUUUAUAGGGAAGUUGUGUGCCACGAUCUAUUUAAACCACCUCCAACUGACAACCACUUGCAACUACUGAAGAAAGCGGGCUGAAGUUAAGGAGGUAACCGUACACGACGAAUAGUCUAUUUAAACUGAAGAGCACAUCAGGUGAGGGGGUUAGUAAAAAUGAACCAAAAACUCUAUAAGUGACCUAUCUAAGAGCCUUAACGGGGCUGACCAGAUUUUUAGUUCCUUUAUCGGAAAAUUCCUUUCUUUUGAACCCAUUCACAAUUCUUCCCUCUCAUUUUUAUCUCUUUAUACACAAUUUCUGACUUAAGCAUCGGAGGGUCUGCGCCGGAACCCCACCGGCGUAUCCUAACCGUGUUUUCUGGCUGACAGGUACAGAAAAUUCUGGUCAUAUUGGCGUUUGAGCUUGGAUUCGUGCUGUAGUUCCCCUAAAGAAACAAAUUCAGCUGUUGAGGUUAUUUUUCGACAUCAACAUCUUGGCACCAUCUGUGGGAAUCGGUGCGAAAAGCCAUACGUUUGAAAAUUUAGAAGGAAGAGGCUAUCAGAUUAUGAAAUAGCGAUGGAUGACAACGAUGGAGAUAGGCAGACCUUGCGCCAAUUGGUAGAGGAAAUGAAUGUCACAGCAGAUAAGAGAUGGAGAGAAGGGAUCGAGAGGUAAAUGGCAAAAUUUGAGGAGAUGAUCAGGGGGCUGGUUAAUGCCCAAGUUAGAGGGGCUCAAGUUCGAGCUAGUGACCCAGAGAGUAGUGGAGCGCGAGAGAGGGAAGAGCUUAGUGGUGAACAGCAGAGCGGAAUGGGACUACCACAAGUUGGGGUACGACAAGAGAAUAGAAGUGCAGGAGAACAAGUGAAUGAGUUGAGAGGGAGAAUCAAUGACUUGAAUCAAGAAAGGGAGAGGGAAGAGCUGAGAGACCCCCACCGGGCAAAUGAGCUUGAGCAGCGAAUGAUGCAAUUUCAAAAAACUUUAGAGGCAUUAGAGGCGAAAAUAGAGGGCAAGAAAAUGGUAGGAAGUUUAUUUCUUGAUGACGAGUCCCCUUUGGUACGUGAAGUGAUGGCGGUAACUUUGCCACCCAAGUAUGUGGUUCCAGCUUUGGUGUAUGAAGGCAAAACUGACCUGAAUCAUCACGUGGAGAAGUUUAAUGAGAUGACCGGGAUCCAAGGCUUGAACGAUUUUCAAAGGUGCCAUGUUUUUCCUUUAACCUUAGAAGGACAAGCACGGGAGUGGUAUCAGAGAUUAAAGAAGGGAAGCAUAGGAAAUUUCAAGGAGUUAUGUGAGCUUUUCGCUGUGCGUUUUAGAGGUUCAUGCAUACCAAAGCAAGAUACGAGCAGGUUGAAAAAAUUGGUCCAAGGAGAAUUUGAAAGCUUGAGGAGUUUUGUGACCAGAUAUCAUAAGGAGGUUAUUGAUCUAGGGGCCUUUGAUCAUCCAGAUGCUCUGGAGGGAUUAAAGAAGGGGUUGAGAAUCAAUCGAUUGUGGAAUAGCUUAUAUAGUAAGGGGAUAACAGCAUAUGUUAAGGCGUAUGACCAGGCAAAAUUGGACAUGAAAACUGAAGAUGCAGAGGAAGAAAAGAGGAGAAUGGAAAUGCAGACUGUUGGGGAAAAAUCAGGUUUUUAAAUUUUUAUAAAACCUUUUGAAAAUCGCUCUCAUAUAAUAUAUAAGAAUUUGUAUUCUAGAAAUCGUACCUUGAAAAUCUAAGUUGGCUUUUUCCGCUGAAGUGAUUUAGGCUCGUAGAUCAUGAUCCGCCACGACCACUCCUGUUAGAUCAUGAUCCGUCACCACCACGCUUGUUAGAUCACGAACUGUCACCAAUGAUCUUCCAGGUUAUGACUCAGGUUCGAUCUGCACUUGACGUGUGGGCGCCGUUAUCACUACCAAAGCAACUAGCACGAGAAAAUUUUUCUCUCAACAAUAGAGAGAAAAAUCUUAUUCUCUGAUCUGUAUAAAGUGGCUUCCCCCAUUUUUCUUUAGAGAAAAAUAAGCCUUUUAUAUCACCCUUUAGUGAAAACCCUAGGCUCCAAAUAAUCAAAAAACAAAACCCACGUUAUUUUCUUUUUCAAUAGGGGACCCACCUUGUAAAAUAACAUAAGGCCCCUUAUACAAAAGCUAAUUAAAUGGAGCCUCCCACUAAAUGAUAUAUUUAGGCUUUUGACCCAAAUAGCUAGUUAUCUUACUUAUUAGUCCAGUAGUGGUGCAGUCAAUUAAAUGAGCUAACCCGGGGAUCAUUUGGGAACAUACAAUAGUGGCUACAAUAAUUAGGCCUGUAAUUAAACUAGCCCAAUUAUUUAAUUCCAAAUCUACUCCACUAAAAGAUUAGAACUGACUUCCAUAAUUGUAUGCUCGAAUAACAAUUCGUCCCAAGCCACAUUAAUUUCUUUACUGCACAAUCCUUUGUACCACAUCGUCUGCUGUACCGUACAUCCGCCUUGGCCGUACAGCAGUGCGCUUGUAGUGAAGGUUGUCUUGGCAGGGCAGGAAUUGAACCGAGCUUUUGUAGAUGUGGGAAGCUCGGUCGACAUUUUAUUUAAGCAAACUCUGGACGAUCUAUAAAUAGGAGACCUCAGGCUUGAUCCGGUCAGAACAUCACUAAAGAGGUUUAGUGGAGCUGAGCUGAUUCCCCUUGGGUUGAUUGACUUGCCACUGACAAUAGGGUCUAGCCCACUACAAAAGGCAAUGAUGGUGACAUGGUUGGUAGUUGAUGAGCUAAGCCCUUAUCAAGUUAUUUUGGGCAGACCAUUCAAUAGGAUAGCAGGAGCAGUGAGCUCAACCCAUAUGUAAUGUGUGAAGUUUAGAGUUCAAGGUGGAGUUGGAGUGAUGAGGGGCCAGCAACAAGUGGCUCGAAGUUGUUACGCUACAGCUGUGAGAGAAUCCAUGCAGAUCACAAGUAUCGAUCUACGAGCUGAAAAUAGGUUGUGCCAACAGCGACCUAAUGAAAAAAUGAAACAAGUGCCGGUAAGUGAGGUUGAUCCGAGCAGAGUGAUAAGAGUGGGAACAAAAAUGAUAGAUGACAUCUCCAAUGAGCUUCAGAUUUAUUGAUGGAGUUCUAGGGCCGAGCUGGGAAGGACCAUAUAAAGUGCUACACUCAUUUGGUAAUGGGGCAUAUAAGUUAGGUUAUCAGGAUGGCAGGGUCGUUGGCAAGACAUGGAAUGCAAAGCACCUGCGAAAUACUAUCAGCUAAGAUAUAUCUUAUUUAUGAUAUUUUUGUUUGUUUGUUUUCUUUAAAUAUGCUAAGAAAGUUUGUUUCUUUGUUAUUUCAAUUUGUUAUGUGUUCAAUUCUGUAACUUCUGCUAUAUUAAUAUCAAUGAGGUUAUUUAGAAGUGCAACUUUAUUUCUUAUCUACUUGUGACCGGUCUUAUUUGAGUUCGAGAUCGACAUUUGGACCUUAUUAAGGUCCAACAUGAAAAAAAAAAUUAUCCAGUCUUAUUGAGAUUGAGAUUGAGAUUGGCAUUUUUGGACCUUAUUGAGGUCCAACGUGAAAAAAAUUAUCCAAUUUUAUUGAGAUUGAUAUCGACAUUGCGACCUUGUUGAAGUCCAACGUGAAAAAGUUACCUAAUCUUAUUGAGAUUGAGAUCAUCAUUUUUGGAUCGUAUUGAGGUCCAACAUGAAAACAUUUUUCUAAUCUUAUUGAGAUUGAUAUCGACAUUGCGACCUUGUUGAGGUCUAACGUGAAAGAGUUAUCCAAUCUUAUUGAGAUUGAGAUUGACAUUUUUGGACCGUAUUGAGGUCCAACGUGAAAAGAUUUAUCCAAUUUUAUUGAGAUUGAUAUCGAUAUUGCAACCUUGCUGAGGUUCAACGUGAAAAUGUUAUCCAAUCUUAUUGAGAUUGAGAUCGACAUGGCAGCCUUAUUGAGGUCCAACGUGAAAAAAAUUAUCCAAUCUUAUUGAGAUUGAGAUCGACAUGGCAGCCUUAUUGAGGUCCAACGUGAAAAAAAUUAUCCAAUCUUAUUGAGAUUGAGAUCGACAUUGCAGCCUUAUUGAGGUACUACCUGAAAAAUUUAUCCAAUCUAAUUGAAAUUGAGAUCGACAUUUCAGCUUUGUUGAGGUCCUACUUGAAAAAUUCAUCCAAUCUUAUUAAGAUUGAGAUCGACAUUGCGGCCUUGUUGAGGUCCUACCUGAAAAAUUUAUCAAGUUUUAUUGAGAUUGAGAUCGACAUUGCGGCCUUGUUGAGGUCCUACCUAAAAAAAUUAUCAAAUCUUAUUGAGAUUGAGAUUGGCAUUUUUGGACCUUAUUGAGGUCCAACGUGAAAAAAUUUAUUCAAUCUUAUUGAGAUUGAUAUCGACAUUGCGACCUUGUUGAGGUCCAACGUGAAAACGUUAUCCAAUCUUAUUGAGAUUGAGAUCGACAUGGCAGCCUUAUUGAGGUCCAACGUGAAAAAAAUUAUCCAAUCUUAUUGAGAUUGAGAUCGACAUUGCAGCCUUAUUGAGGUACUACCUGAAAAAUUUAUCCAAUCUUAUUGAAAUUGAGAUCGACAUUUCAGCUUUGUUGAGGUCCUACUUGAAAAAUUCAUCCAAUCUUAUUAAGAUUGAGAUCGACAUUGCGGCCUUGUUGAGGUCCUACCUGAAAAAUUUGUCCAAUCUUAUUGAGAUUGAGAUCGACAUUACGGCCUUGUUGAGGUCCUACCUAAAAAAUUUAUCAAAUCUUAUUAAGAUUGAGGUUGUCAUUUUGACCUUGUUGAGGUCUAAUUGUAAUUCGACCAUGUUGAGAUUGAAGACGGCUAUUAUCUUGUGGUUAGACAACUUUAACUUUUAUCUUGUUGAGAUCUACAUUUUUCAAUUUUAUCGAAAUUGGCUUUUACCUUAUUUAGGUCGACCAUUGCCUUAUUGAGGUCAACCAUAAGAUAAGUUCUACAAUUUUCUAUUUAUUGAGGUUGGCCAUUGCCUCGUGGAGUUUGGCCAUAGCCUUAACAUUUACGUUCUACAAUGUUCAAUUUUGUUGAGGUCGGCCAUUGCCUUAAUGAGGUCAGCCAUAAGAUAAGUUCUACAAUUUUCUAUUUAUUGAGGUUGGCCAUUGCCUCAUGGAGUUUGGCCAUAGCCUUAAUAUUUACGUUCUACAAUGUUCUAUUUUGUUGAGGUCGGCCAUAGGCUUAACAUUAAGUUGCCCAAUUUCAAUUUUAUUGAGGUCGGCCAUUGCCUUGUUGAGGUCAAUCAUAAGCUUAACAUUUAAAUUCUCUAAUUUUCAAUUUUGUUGAGGUCGAUCAUAAGCUUAACAUUUAAGUUCUCCAAUUUUCAAUUUUUUUUAGGUCGGCAUUUUAGCUUUACAUUUUAACCUUAUUGCGUUCAACACUCUAUCUUGUUGAGGUUGACAUUUUCUUGAGUUUGACAUUUUUUGUGAGGUUGACAUUUUCCUUGUCGUGAGAUCGUGAGGUCGGCGUUUUAGCUUUACACUUAACCUUGUUGAGGUCGACAAUAUAUCUUGUUAAGGUUGACAUUUUCGUGAGGUCAACAGUCUACGGAAUGCAAGUCAUAGCCAACCCCAGUAAAUAAAGAGUAAAAAAGGCAAGGUCAGCAUAAUAAUUAUCUGACUAUAAAGGCAAAAUAAAGUUCAGUAGCAUACGGUCUACACAAGUGUAUAUUGCAAAAAGGGGCAAGCAUUUUAAUAAUUAAAUUUAGGAAGUUCUCUCUUGGUCUUUAACAACCCUACUAGUUAGGGACACCUCACCCUCAACCCUGACCCUAUCACCUCGAGGCAUUUGGUCAUGGUUAUUUUCUUGGUCCACACCUGAAGGUUUCUUCUUACCCUUCUCUUUGCUCAUUGUUUCGCUCUACACCGUCUUUCUUUUGCUUGCGGCCAUAUUGCUCUUUCUUAAUUAUUUUAGUUUCCAAUACCGUUCAUAUCUUCUCAGUAUUGAAAACUAGGGGACUGGUAAGGGUUUUGAGAAAAUUUUUCUAUUAGUUUCUAACACCAGCAAUGACUUUCCGGUAUUGAAAACUAGGGGACUGGUGUUUCAGUUGGAUUUUUCUAGUAGUGUCUCAAAAUAUAGUCGAUCCUAAUCUACUCAGAACUUAUUGUUGUUGAGUUGGCCUCAUAAGUACAACCUGAAGCCUAUGUUGGCAACCUGGUUUAUAAGUACGACGUAAGAUCUAUGUGAAUGAUCUAGUUUAAGAAUACAACCUCAACGCUAUAUGAGCAACUGAGAAAUUCAUCUGUCUGAUCUGAAAAUGAAGUAAUCCGACCUUGAAAUUCUCUUGUCCGACCUGAGAAUUAGCUUGACAUGAAAAAUUGCUAGUUAAGAGAACGUGGCCUAAUUUAUAGGGAAGUUGUGUGCCACGAUCUAUUUAAACCACCUCCAACUGACAACCAUUUGCAACUGCUGAAGAAAGCGGGCUCAAGUUAAGGAGGUAACCAUAUACGACGAAGAGUCUAUUUAAACUAAAGAGCGCAUCAGGUGAGGGAGUUAGCAAAAAUGAACCAAAAACUCUAUAAGUGACCUAUCUAAGAGCUUUAACAGGGCUGGCCAAAUUUUUAGUUCCUUUAUCAGAAAAUUCCUUUCUUUUGAAACCAUUCAUAAUUCUUCCCUCUCAUUUUUAUCUCCUUAUACACAAUUUCUUACUUAAGCAUCGGAAGGUCUGCGUCUGAACCCCACCGGGGUAUCCUAACCGUGUUUUCUGGUUGACAGGUACAGAAAAUUGCGGUCAUAUUGGCGUUUGAGCUUGGAUUCGUGCUGUAGUUCCCCUAAAGAAACAAAUUCAGCUGUUGAGGUCGCUUUUUGGCAUCAACACUAGAGAUUAAUCAAACAGAAGUUAUGAUUUUAUCACUUCCGUUUUGUAGACAUAUAUUACGUAAUUUUUUGACACUACUUUACGUUCACGCUAGCUUUAGCUCACCAACACAAAUCUUUUCUUGCUCAGUUCCACCCGCAGGAAUGAAUCGAACUUUAUUAUGGAGAUUAUCAAUGAGAUAUCAAGCAAAAUUCCUUUAAAAUCAGAGACUCUGAAGGAGCUAGUAGGAAUAGAUUCACACUUGGAGAAGCUAACGUUUCUUAUGGAUCAAGAGCCUAAUGAUGUUCGUGUGAUAAGGAACAACAAUUAGGCAUCUACAUCAUAAGAUUUUUGCUUCCUUACCAAUAAUAUGAUGUGAAGGAGUUCAGAUCCCAUGACUAAUAUGAUGUUACCUUCUCUAUCAGGCUUGUGUUCUUUAACAAAAUGGGAAGCCUCAAGAGAAAUCCCAAGUGAUAUUUGCUAUUUAUGGCUAUUGUUCAAUAACGAACUAGAAUCUAAUUCCCAGACCAGAUGCAAUGUCGGCUAAAUAAUAAAUGAUAGUAUGAACUAAUGUUUCUUUGCAUACGAUCUCUCGGUUGCCCCCCAGAGGAGUUGUGUACGACGUCCAAGGUCGUCUAAACUUAGUGAGUGAGUGCACGCGUUGGUCACGUGCACUCUUUUAAUGAUCAAACGACUCCAAAUGAUUGUCGUUUUGACGAGCAUUAGUGUCAUUAUAUGGCUGUGAAAUCGGUUAGAAAGGGCGGGAAAUUAUUACAAAUGCCGAUGACCGAUGAGGUAUCUUGCAUGAUGUCAUCAUGGCUGUAUAUAAAGCCUCAUAUGCUAGGGUUAGGUCCAUUCAUGUAGCUUGUAAUCUUCUCUCUAAAUUUCUAAGUUGUUCUCAGAAAACAAAUAAAGCAUGCUGAAGAAGGCAUAGGCCAAACCUUAGUGAUU
This 60119-nucleotide long non-coding RNA is filed under the name Citrus sinensis (sweet orange). RNAcentral describes it as "long non-coding RNA (CSIN_LNC005361)". The record is from RNAcentral. Lineage: Eukaryota; Viridiplantae; Streptophyta; Magnoliopsida; Sapindales; Rutaceae.